AAUGAAUUCCUGACCAAGCACAUGGGCUUAUUUUGGUGACAUUUACAGAAGAAAGAAACCAUGAAUGCAAGAGAGAACGACUAUGGACUUUAAGGCUGGCUUUCCAUUUCACAAGAGCAUGGCCUUCUUCUAUAGAAUUAGAAGAAACAUCAAGUGAAAAGUCUAAAACAAGAAACAAGAUGAGGGGAAAAACGAGUGAUAUAAUUACUCUAUUAUUUUUCAAGGCUGCUGAAUCCAUUGAUUAUGUUGUUGGGUAGCAAUAGAAAACAAAGAUGAAAAUAGAAGAUGAAUUACAGAAACCAAACGGUGAUGGAGAAAAGAAGCACACUAACACUACUAGAAAAAUAGUCUUUUGUGACACUUGUCUUCUGACACUUUAUUAUAAAGUAUCAGUAAUUACAUGUAUUUGGGGUAUUUUCCGUGUUUAACAGAUAAGUAUCACAAAUUGCUAAUACUAUGGUGUCAGUAAAUUAAAUAUCACAGAUUCGUGACACUAAAGUAUUUGUAGUUAAAAAAAUAAAAUUUUAAUUUCAUAUCUAGAAAUAAUCGAACCGAAGACCCCUAAGCCAUAACCUUUUGAUUUUAACCGCCAUACCACUCGGCCACAAAUUGCAUUUUUAAACAUAUAAAUAAAUAAAUAAAUAAAUAUUAAACUUAAAACCUGAAACCCAAAACCUAAAACCUAAAAUUUUUUCAUGUAUGGUCUGUGUGAAACCUAAAACCUAAAAAUUUUUGUUAAGUCAAAAAUCUAUCACGGCCGUCGAAGCUUUCUUCCUUCUCUCUCCUUCCCUCUCUCUCGCUCUCUUUCUCUCUCUAACAAUGAUAUACCUUGAAAGCCGCCUCCAUCAACACCUUGAAAGCCGCCGUCCUUAAGCUAAAAUAUCCCUAAAAAGAACCCAGAAAGUGCUGUGAAGAAUUUGGGCAAAGUUAAGGUUUGAAAGUCCGAAUCAGUGUUGUGGUAACUCUUUGUCUCAUUCUCUAUUCUCAUUGUUUAAGUAUUUAUCUGUUAAUUGAUUGAUGUUUAUUGAGUGCAAAUGAGAGCUUGCACUUGUUUGGAAAUCUAGCCAUCUAGGGUUUUUGUUGCUUAUAAUCUAAUUUAUUGUUUAAUAAAAUAAAUAAAACGCAACUUUAUUAUAGGUGGAAUUCAGUUUAUUAAGUGAAAAAAUGAUCACAAUCAAUGAUUAUGGAUUUAGGUUGAAUGCAAUUUGUUAAUUAAAAGAAUAAUGGCAAUCGACAAUCAUGUGUUUAGUAUGUAUUAUAUAUUUCGUUUAAUGGUGUGUAUGAAAACCCAAAACUUAAAAUUUUCUUUAAGUAAAAAUCUCAGUUCUCCCUCACGACCUAUAUGCUCAUCUCUCUCUCUCUCUCUCUCUCUCUCUCUCUCCCCACUCUUUCUAGCUAACAACCCAAAACUUAUUGUGAAACCGCCAUAUCAAUCUUUCAAAGCUCAUUAGUUAGCUGGUUAUUGUGAAAAGUAAGGUAGGUUAUUGUUUGCUCAAAGCUCAUUAGUUAGCUGGUUAUUGUGAAAAGUAAGGUUAUUGUUUGCUUUUAUGUCUAAUUUUACUUUAAACAUGGGGAUUGAUGAUAUUCGAGUUGCCGGACACUUGAUUUUGAGGUGAAAGAUUAAUUAAUAGUUUACGAAAUUAUGCUGAAAAUUUGAGGAUUGAUAAACUGUUGUUGUGAACUUGGUUGUUUCCAAACUUGACUAAAUGGCUUUCAAUUGAUUUGAAAGUUUGAUUAAACUAAGUUUAAACGAGAACAUUUUAAUUCUGGAAAUUUUGGAAUGAAUUGGGUUUAUAUUUGAUUUUGAAUGGAUUUUAUGUACCAUGUUUGAUAUUGCAAACGUAUAGUCUAACAGAGUUAGAAUAAGCUGAAAUUUGGAUAAACUACACUUCUAUUGCAUACUUUGAAUCUGGAAAAUUUUAUUUUGUUUGAACUUGUAAUUUAUUUUUAAUGAUUUUUCAAACUCUGCUGCCUCUGCAGUAACUUCUUUUGACAGAACUGUUCAUUAAUCUUUGAUCCUAUCAAACACCAGCCUAAUGAUAUCGGAAUAACCUCAAAUUUUAAUAUGUUGUUCACUUAUAUGUCCACUUAAAAUUUGAAAAGUAUCAUUAUGAUAUAUUUAGUAUUUUAAAUUUAAUAAAUAUUCAAACACCUGCUGCUACUUUUACAGUUUCAUAUGCAAUUUUAACUUAUAUAGUUUUAUCAUGUGAGAAGCAAAUGUAGAGUUGUCCAAAUGACUUGGAAAUUUUAUUUAUGGUGCAUUGACAUGUCUAAUUAUGUUUUGUAAGUUUCAUAGCAUUCCAAAUUGAAUUAAAGAAAAUCUUAAAUUCAAACUAUCAAUGUUUCCUAUUAAAUCUGAUUAGUGAUAAAUCUACUAAUCUCUUUUCAUUAUAUUUGGGACUAUUCUUAAAGGUUAGUCUUUUCCUUUUUCCUUUUUUUCUUUUUUAUUUAAGGUAAUCAUAUUCAUUUUAAUUUUAAUUACAAUCAAUUUGGCGUUGUUAGACAACUUGCACCAACCAAUCCAACAACAAAUGAAGAUAACAUUUUUUAAAUGCAUUCAGUUUUUGACAAUAGCAAAAAGAAAAAGGAAAAAUGAUACUAGUUUAGGCUUUAGAAAAUUUGCAUCAUCAUUCUUACACUGCAGCUGCCUCUAUCUCGGUGCUCUCGGAGAAGUAAUCUUGCUUGAUUUUGCGUGAUAGUUGAUGGUUUUAGGACUAGCCGGGUGGUUCCAGAAAGUUAGGAGCUUGUUAGCUAUUCUUUUUAAUUGAACUAAUUUAACUUAAAUAUUAGCCCGAUUAUUGAUUUCUAUGGUUUGCGAUUGAUUUGAGUUUGACAUUCUUGUUUUGUGUUGGUUUGAGUUUGACAUCCUAGUUUAAGACUUUGAAGGCUUCCAAGAAAUGAUUUUGGAUGAUGAGCAUAUGAGUAAUAGUUUGAAAAUUAAUUUACUGUAUCAAAUAUAUACUUAGUGUAGCAUAUUAAUUUUAAGAACUAUGGAUUAUUCCAUGAAUAUUCUAGUAAAUGGUUAUGUUAUAUAUGCAUGUCUUAAUAUAUAAUAAUUAUAUUUUGAAGUUUAUUUUUUUUCCCUUUCUAGGUUUAGGAAAAAUGUUUAAAGUGAUUUUGGGUUAUGAUGUCAAUCAAGUUAAAGCAACAUUACUUGUGAGUGGAAAUAUAUAAUGAUUAUAUUUUUAUUCUACUUUUUUUUAUCUUCUUAAAGUUUUAUAAUUAGGCAAAAUUAAUGAAUACUUAAUUACAAUUUAGGGUGAUAUUCUUUAAAUGUUUCACAUGAAUAAAUUUAAGUAGUAUAAUAAAUCUCAUACUCACUUUAUAAAGGCUUAACUAAGUUUGCAAAUAGUAUUUCUUUUAGUAGUAAUAAUUUUGGAUCAAACUCUCAAAUUAUUGAAAUAUUUUAUGUCCAAACUUUAUUAUGCCUAAUAUAAAUAUGGAGAUUAUAGUUAUUUUAUGCCCAGUUUAAAGAAACAACAGUUUGAGGACUUAUUUUUUGCUUUGUUAAAUAAGCUUUUAGAAUGAAUAAAUUGAGGAAAUGAGUGGUGAUUUAUUUAUAAUAGAGCAUUUGUGAUUGCUUUUAACUAUGCACAAAAAUCAUUUGGUAUAUGUAGAUAGAGUAACAUGCUUGUGCUGAAAGUAGAUAUUACAUUGAAAACUUUUUGUCUGCUAUAGUUUGCUAUAUAUAUAACCUUUACCAAAAGAGAAUAAUUUAGUUUAUUUAUAAAUAGCUCAUGAGUAUUUUUUUUCUUUCGAACAAAAUAAUUUUAUUUCUGUUAAUUGUUAUUUCUCUAAUGGCCGGAUAUUGGCAGCUAAUUUUUUUUUUCUUUUCCAUGUAUUCAUAUGCAGAUUUGAUCAAUGUGUUUGAAGUGUUUAUUCCUCAACUUCACUUAUAUCCUAACCCAUACAGUCUAUUGAAUAGAGAAGCUGCUGGUGUGAUAACGCAAUUAUACUACUCAUAUUCAAAGAGUGAAAGGCAGUCAUCCUUCUCAAUUUAGCUUAUAGAUUUAUUAAAUUUAGCCACAAGUAGUAGGCAUUUGAUUGGAUGGUAGAAAUUUUUAUGUAUUGAAUUUGAAUUAUUUAGUUAUGAGAGUAGGAUAUUUCAUAUUUUUGUUAUUGAAGUUUUGGAAUUUGUAAUAUAUACUAAUAAUAUUUAAAUGUGAAAUGAAAGAUUUUGUGAUAUAAAUCAAUUUCUUUUUGUUAUUUUGUGGUGCCUUUUAAUUUUACCAAUAAAUCAAUAGGUAAUGAUCCAAUUCAAUUUUUUAUUUUUUUAAAAUAAAUUAACUAGUGAUACCAUGGUAACAGUAAUCAUAGACACUAAUAAAAUAUCAAUAACUACUAACACGAUUGUGUCAUAAUAUCGAUGAUACUGUAGUAAUAGUAAUCACUGACACCACAUACAAGUGUCAUUAUUUUUCUGACUCUCAGAUUACUGACACAAUUAACAAGUGUCAGUGAAAGUAAUUUCUGACAUUAUUCUAAAGUCAGCAAAGACUAUUUUUCUAGUAGUGUAAGAGCAAAUGUAUAGAAUACUAAGUCAAUUGACCUCUAAACUUGAGUUGCUUUCAAGGGAAAUAGUUUCUGGAGAUAUAAUAUUAGGGGGUAAAAAAAAAUCCUUGUACCACAUGCGACUAUCUUGUCUUUGGGACAAGUUAAUUUAUAUAUUAAAUUAAUAAAACUUAUUAUAUUAUUAUAAUUUAAAAAUAUGGAAAUUAUAAUUUAAGACAAAGACACAUGUGUUGCAAUAGUAAUCACUUCUUUGUCGCCGCACAAGGAUGACUUCCCGUCAUCUUUGCAACCAAAAGUCAUAUAAAAAAAUAAUAAAUAUGAUUGUCCAUCCUUUCGUAUAAACAAAUAACAAUACUGAUAUUUAAUUUGAAUUUUAUUCAUCGAAAUAAAUAAAUUUAAUAUUUUUUAAUUAAAAUCAGACGAAAAUUGGGAGAUGGCUCGUCGCCUGGUAAACAUCUUUGGGAGAUGGGCCUCCACCCAUCAACUAUCCAUACAAAUAAUAAAUUUCGGGCUACAUAUCAUUUUUUAAUGAGUCAAACUAUUGACACUCUUCCAAAAUCUUCAUAAAGUUUCUUUUUUUUAAAAAAAUUAUAUUCUAUUUAAUAUUAAAGGUAUUUUUUUCUGACAUAUUAUUUUAGCACCUAAAUUUUUUGAUAAUUAUUAUUUUUUUAUAUAUUUUUACAAUUUACCAUCAAACUAUUAAAGCGUAAACUAUGUAAGUAUAAUUUAACCUUCUAAAUUAAAGAAAUACAAAAUUAAUUAUAUACCAAAAAAAUAAUAGUGUUAUCAAUUAUUAAGUAGGAAAAAGUAAUUAUCCAAAAAUUUUGAUAGUAAAGUGAUAUGCCAAAAAAUAUUAGGUAGCAAAGUGAUAAAAUCUAUAUAUUUUUUAAAAAAUCAAUCAUCACAAUUCAUAGUUAGCGAUAAUAUCCGUUUAUUAAAAAAAAAAAAAANNNNNNNNNNNNNNNNNNNNNNNNNNNNNNNNNNNNNNNNNNNNNNNNNNNNNNNNNNNNNNNNNNNNNNNNNNNNNNNNNNNNNNNNNNNNNNNNNNNNNNNNNNNNNNNNNNNNNNNNNNNNNNNNNNNNNNNNNNNNNNNNNNNNNNNNNNNNNNNNNNNNNNNNNNNNNNNNNNNNNNNNNNNNNNNNNNNNNNNNNNNNNNNNNNNNNNNNNNNNNNNNNNNNNNNNNNNNNNNNNNNNNNNNNNNNNNNNNNNNNNNNNNNNNNNNNNNNNNNNNNNNNNNNNNNNNNNNNNNNNNNNNNNNNNNNNNNNNNNNNNNNNNNNNNNNNNNNNNNNNNNNNNNNNNNNNNNNNNNNNNNNNNNNNNNNNNNNNNNNNNNNNNNNNNNNNNNNNNNNNNNNNNNNNNNNNNNNNNNNNNNNNNNNNNNNNNNNNNNNNNNNNNNNNNNNNNNNNNNNNNNNNNNNNNNNNNNNNNNNNNNNNNNNNNNNNNNNNNNNNNNNNNNNNNNNAAAAAAUAAUAGUGUUAUCAAUUAUUAAGUAGGAAAAAGUAAUUAUCCAAAAAUUUUGAUAGUAAAGUGAUAUGCCAAAAAAUAUUAGGUAGCAAAGUGAUAAAAUCUAUAUAUUUUUUAAAAAAUCAAUCAUCACAAUUCAUAGUUAGCGAUAAUAUCCGUUUAUUAAAAAAAAAAAAAAUCAACGGCUUUGUUUAACAUUUACUUUAAAAAUGAAUGAUGACAAUUCUUCGCUAGUGACAACUAACAUAAGCAUUGCAUGGUCCCGUUAAGAGAAAAAAAAAGGGGGGCUGCAUAGACAAAUAGAAAGAAUGAAGCUUUUCACACACGCCUACUAAAUAUUGAAAUUAAAAUGUAAAACGAAGACAUGUUUGCCACAAUAAUAAUCACUUACUUGUCGCUACAUAAGGAUGACUUCCAGUCUUCUUUGGAGUCAAAGACGUGUUUGCAGCAACAGUCAUCGCCUAGUUGUCGCUGUACAAGGAUGACUUCCAGUCUUCUUUGGAAUCCAAAGUCAUAUAAAGAAAAAAAAUACAAUAGAUACAAAUUUUCAUCCUUUCGAGUGAACAAAUAGCAAUACCGAUAUUGAAUCUGAAAUUUUAUCUAUCGAAAUAAAUAAAAUUAUUUACAGUUGGAUAAAAUUUUAUUUAAUUUAUUUUCUGUUUGUGUUGUGUCUUAAUUUAAUUCUUAUGUUUGUUACAAUAAUUUUGUUUUUAUUAAAGAAUUACUUCUUAAAUUCAGAUUGUUUGAAUGAUAUAAAAAAAAUAUUAUACAAGUAAAAUACACUAAAGAGAGAAAAAUUAUAAAUAGAAUUAAUUCUAUUUGUAUUUGUCCUUAAAUAUAAUUAUAAUCUAAUAUAAAUUUCAUAAAAUUAAAAAAUUCAACUUGGUUUCAUUGAACAAAGAAAAUUCUUAGCUAGUGCAAGAGGCAUCAGAGGGCCCCGCAAAAAAAUAUGAAUGGGCUACACCGACCGCCCGAAUUCUAUGAAUAUUAAUAAUAGAUGCAAAAGAAUACAAAUUUAUCAUUUUUUCCUUCUUCAAUGAAUAUCAAUUUCCUUUUUUUUUGGGAGAAAUAAAUUAACUUAUUAUCCAAGGAAGAGAGCUGGUUGUAUUAGAUUUAAUAUGAUAGAAUAACUAGCAGAGAGUUUACUGCAAAAAAUAAAGAAAAUAUGGAGAGACAUAUUUUCAAGGCAGUUGUAGAAUAAUUAAUAAAAGAGAGAUUGUCAUAUUCUCCCUACUGAAAUCAAUAUAGAUCACUUACUUCUUGCUAUUUUCAUAAUAGUCAAUAAUUCCCUUGGCAACAUAAUUUAAUAGUAUUACUGGUGUUGCUUUAUUCACAUUUAUUAUAAAUUGAAUAAAUCAUAUGAAUGUAAACUAAAAUAAAUCAUAUAAAUGUAAAUUAAAAUAAAAAAUUGAAGUACUAAAAAUAAAAAUAUAUAUUUUGGCGUGAAUAAAAAAUUAAUAAUAAGAUAUUUUUCUUUUAUUUUUUAUUUUAAAAUAUUUUCUUAUAAAAAAUAUAUAUAUUUUAUAUUCCGAUGAUAAGUUAUUAAAUGAAGAGUAAUGAUAUAGCUACAAACUCUUGUAUAAAUUUAUUUUGUACAAAUUGAUGCUGCAUUAAUUUAUUAGUUGAAUUAAAUAUCUCUUGGCCUACAUGAUUUAUUUAUAUUAUUUUAUAUUUUUAUUCAACCAAUAAAUUAAUACCACAUCAGUUUGUAUAAAAUUAGUUUAUACAAGAGUUUGUGGUUAUAUCAUCACUCUUAUAUGAAUAACCCAUUUACCUUUAUUUUUCUUUAAAUAUUUUUAUGCUCAAUGAGUUUUUUUAUAUUAUGACAAAAAAUAAGGAGAGAAGUGUUAAAUAUUAAUUUUAAUAAAAGAGAAAUUAUUUGCAGAGUAAUGAAGGACCCCGCAAAGAAAUAAAAAUGUGCUUGCUACUUGUAGAAAAUUCUUAGUCUCAGACGAGCAUUAACUUCUCAGUGCCUUCCUCGGACCGUUGGCUCCCCAAUCCCAACUACUAUAAAUAAUAUACGUUCAAGAGAACACUAAUUUAUCAUCCAUUCAUCCUUUCCAUCUUCAAUUAAUGCUCGUUUAUUGAUAUUAAUUUCCUCUUACUUCCUUUAUUUUUGGCAUAACGAAAAUGGGAUUGGGCUCUAAGAUUUUCCUUCUUUUAGGUCUUGUAAUCACUAUUGUUGUUCUUCUUACUUCUACGAAGGUGGCAGCUGCUAGAAACAUGGCUGAGGCUUCCACUGCAACACGAAAAGGUGAGCGUCUUGGUUUCUGCAUUAAUUUGGGUCAUCUUAUAUAUAACAUAACAAUCAAAUUAAUUUCUUCCAGCAAAGCCAAUUUAUAAGUUGUGUUGGUUGUUUUAUGGUGGUGACCGAUGGCUUACAAAACUGUCGUACUACGUAAUAUUUAUCGUGAAUAAUAUUGAAGAAGUGAAUUAAUUUAAAAAAAAAUUUAAAAAAUAAAAAUUUUUGGGUAGUAUAUUUAUUUUUUUAAUCUUUUAGCUCAUUAAUUAUUAUUCAAUAUAAUAUAUUUUAUCUUGUAGUACAAUAAUUUUUUUAUCUUUUAUUUUGCCUGUUAAAUUAUUAAAGAAAGAAAUUCCUUUAUUAUACAAAUAUAUGCCACUUGACAUCAUUAUUCAUCAUAAUGUCAACAAUACCGCCUAUUAUAUAUAUAUAUAUAUAGAUAUAGAUAUUACAUCAUUGUAUGGUAAUUAUUAUGCAUUUUCUUCUUUUUACUUUAAAAAUAAGGGAUUCGGAUAACCAUAACUCUAGAACACUUUUACCAUCGCCAACAGCCUCAGCAAAUGACUUAGAAGAAUGAGUAGAAGUAAAACAGGUGGUUUACUAGACGCAUCGGCCAUGAAAAUCAAAGGAAAACUGAUUACCCUAGAAAUUAAUGUCGGAAGAAGACAAGAGUAUAAAUGAACAUAAAGCUCUCGAACUAAUAUGAUUGUUUUUAUUUUUUCCCUUAAACUAGGGAUAUAUAUUCAUUACACCUAGCAUCUUAUGCUUUAUGUUUUCCUUUUAAUAGAAUUUUCUCUUUGCAUUGAGGUUGAAUUUUUUUUUCAAAAAAAAAAAAGAUAUGACAUGUUGCUACACAUAUACGUGCAACUGAGGCAGCUACAGAAGCACCGAAGAUGCCCAAUAAAGCUCGUACAUAUAGUGGAAUUUUUCCUGGGCCGUGCAGUGCAGCUGGUGGUUGCCCUUGAGUAGAGGUUGCUGCAAAGACUAAAUUGAUUCACCAUACACGUGUGUGUAUCCUAAUAGAAGGUUCUUAAAUUUGUGUUGUAAGAGAUUUUAUCUUAUGCAUGCAUCAUAUGAAUAAUGAAUAGAUAUGUUGUAUGAGGUUUAAUUAAAGAAGAAAGAACUAGCAAGAAAAAAUAAAAUAGUUUAAAGUUGAUUGGUAUAAGAAACAAAGGUUUAUGAGUAAUGAAGUUUAAUAAAUAAGUCUUAAUUAAUAAAAUUAGAGUUUUGUGCCCCUUUAUAUAAUAAUCUUAAAUAUCACGAAUUUAAUAAAAUAAGAAAAUUCGAAAUAUUUAUUGUAGGAAAAUUAUCCACCGUCCACCCGUUUUUUUUACCUUUUUUCAAAAAUACAAAAAAUUUUUUUUGCAGCACUUCACCUAAAGUUAACAUUUUUUUCAUUGAUCUACUCUCGUUAUAACACCGUUAGAACUUUGCUGACAUUAUAAUGGUAAAAUUAUCAUUUCACAACGACACAGUGGUUGAAAUGUGUAAAACAAUAUAACUUCAAGAGAGAGUUUAGUUAAAAAAAAUUAAGAAUUGUGUAUUUUUAAAAAAAUAAGAAAAAAAUAAGUGAUCGGUGGAUAAUUAUCUUUUACAUUUGAGGGUAAAAAAGUCAUUUAUACAAUAUACCGUUAGUUUUCUUAACGAUCUCCAAACGAAAGUGGAAAAGUGAAAAGAAAUGCAACUUCAAGUGGAUUCCAGCAAAAAAAAAAAGAAUUAUGUAAUUUUGAAAAAGUUGAAAGAACGGGUGGACGAUGAAUAGUUUCUCUUUAUUUUAUAAUAAAAUUCUCCUAAUCUAAAUAAGAAAUCGAAAUUAAACACCAAAUCUGACAUCUAAAAAAAAGAUAAAAAUGGAAUUGUUAGCUUAUCCAUAGAACAAUGCAAGCAGUUUUAUGUUUGAUCCUCUCAUUGCAAGCUUUGAAACAAUAUAUUAUAUGUCCAAAACAGACACCUAUAGCUCAAGUUAUGCCCCUCAGAAGAUGCCCUACUCAUCCCACGCAACCAUCCUACAUCAAUCCCCCUCACUUGGAAAAGAACUCAUCCUUGAGUUUGGCUUGUAGAAUGCCUUAUCAUCUGGAUGAUAUUCAAACGGAUCAACCUCAUUGAAUGUUAGAGAGAUAUUCUAGUUUUUUGGCAGCUGGAGCACAUAAGCAUUGUCAUUAAUCUUCCUUGCCGCAUGAAAUGGUUCAAACUUGAGCUUCUCCAAUUUAUACGAAUACCAGGGAAACGACUUGGAUGUAGAUACGCAAUCACUAAAUCACCUUGUCGGAAUACUUUCUUACAUUGAUGCUUUUCAUGCCAGCCUUGUACUUUACAUUGGCAGCCUCUAAAUAAGCUCAAACCUCGGCAAUCUGCAGAGCUUUUUCUGUCACAUUAUCCACUGCUCUACUUCCUCCAGUUAUUGUUAGCAUGAUAGUCAAAUCAUAAACAUCGCAUGGGGAACAAGUGUAGACAAUCUCGAAAUGAGUCUUGCCAAUAGAUCGAUUCACCAUGCUAUUGUAAGUAAACUCAACCUUAGGUAAGGCAACUUCGCAAUUAUGUUGUUUGUCAAUACAAACACAUCGCAACAUGUUACCCAAAGUGCAAUUGAUCACCUUCGUUUGUCCAUCUGUCUGUAAAUAAAAAGCAUUACUAGACUGCAAUUGUCUACCGAACUUAUUCCCGAGAUAAUGCCAAGACUUGCUGAUAAACUUCACAUCCCUAUCAAAAGUAUAGUCUUUGGAACACCAUGCAAAUGUACCACAUCUUAAAAGAACAAAUGCACAACUAAAGCAGUAUCUUCAGUGUUCUUGCAAGCACUAUAACGAGCCAUUUUUGAAAAUCUAUCUACCACAAUCAGUAUAGAAUCUCAACUAGUUUUUGUGUGAGGCAACUGAUAACUCUAUGAAAUGAGAGUUAUCAUGGCACUUUUAGACUUAAUUCAAGAUCACUUAGAGAAUAAUUGACAUGUUUUUAUUGCAUUUUAAUUAUGUUUUGCAUGAACAUCCAUUUUAGUUUAGGUUUAAUAAAUUUUGUUUGAUUUCGAAUAACUAUGUGCUUAAAACAUAUGCAUAAUUGUAGAUAAUUGGAUGCUCGAAUUUCUAGGAAAUGAUGCUAUGCAAUGGGCUUGCAAUAAGGACAAGAGAACAUGGCUGCAAAAGAAUUGAAGCAAGUCUGGAAUAAUGCAUAUGUUGUAGCCAUUACUAUAGAAACCAUUGUUGUAGCAAUCCUAGAGCAUUGACAAAAAAGAGUUCGCAUGAGGCACUUUACAGAUUGCAGUUUUCAAUUCUGGAAAAUGCGAGUCCUAGACUUCCAUUUACUCUAAUUUUCAAUUAUAAAAGAACCACACACGCUAAGGAAAAAAGAGAGAGCCAUCAACCAAGAGUGAAAACCGAAAAGAAAUAAAGGAAAAACUAAAUUCAAGAGUAAGAAUCAAGGUUGUCCCAGUGGAAUAUUUGCAGGAAUCAAUUGGAAUUCAAUCUUUCUUAUUCUUUUCUUGCUUUCUUGUUGAUUAUUUGUUCAUGGAGAUGUAUUUGAUGGCUGAAACUUUGUUGUUUAUUUCUCUUUCGCAUACUAUGAACUAAAUUUACUUGUGGUUGAGUGAUAAACAAUCUUAAUGGUUUGUUGACUAAUUAUAUGUGUUGCUGCAUGUUUGCUUUAAUAUUUUGUUUUUAUAGUACUUAUUUACAUUUAUUAUUUCAUCUGACCACCCAUUUAAUGAUACAAGCUAAGAAAGAGCCACAAAAGAGUCUAUUUUAGUGGAACAUAUUAGAACAAUACUUGGUUUUUAGAUUAAGUUUCCUGAGUUGAGUUUAACUUGAUUUCAAAAGGGUCAUGCUUAAUUUAAAAUGAGUGAUGAACUAGAUAUAGGGAUUCACCUUUUAGGGUAAAUAGAAUCUAAACGUGUAAUGUUAUAUCUUAUGUUGGCAUAACAAUUGGUCACUGUUAGGUUGCAUAAAAAUAUAAGACAUCCAACAUGCGAUAACUAAGGAUACAUAAGGAUCCUGCCCAAUGUUGUAGCAGAUACUGUAGCAACCGAGCAUAAAAUUAGAAGAAAUAGUCAAAGCCAUUAAUGGAGUGUAAUCACUCAUUCAACUACUUCAUUCCUAUUGAUUUUAUCUUUGUGUGUGAAGUGAAAGUUUGCUUUCUACAUAUCUCAUUAUUGUAUAGUUUAUUAGUUUAAUUAUUCACUCUAUUUUCAAUUAAGGCAAAACUGCACUGUCGAGAUUGUUGUAGCAAUUCUGAUAACAUCAAUCUCUGUGGAGACGAUCUUGAAUACUCAUAAUUAUAUUACUUGUUAUGUACACUUGCACAUUAACAUCAAUGGCAUUGGAAAUUAUAGCAACAAAUUUUUGGGGUCGUUGCCGAUAGGGGUGGGCGCGGUUCGGUUCGGUUCGGUUUUUUACUAUAUUUUUCAUAAUCGUUCGAUUACGAUUAUUUUAAAAUCAUAAUCGCGAUUAAUCAAAUUACCGAAAUAAUCAAAUACUCGAUUAAUUGAAAUAAUUCGAUUCGGUUCGGUUCGAUUAUUUCAAUUAUGGGCCUAUUUUGGGCUUUUUUAAAUUUAAAACUUUAAAUUAAUAAAUCUACAACAAUUAUCAUGUAAUUCAUAUGAGCUGGAUAAUCAUGCAGGAAAAGCAAUCUAACGGGAGCAAAAAUAAUUAUUAGUUAGUUGUUUUUAUUUAUGGGACCAACUGUCAGCAUUUUUUUUUGUUUGUUCGUGGGAGAAAUUCAAAGGUUGCUUAAGUUACAACCUUUGUAAUUUAUUGCAAAAUAUGCAAAAACUAAUAACAUGACAGUGGCAAAGGUAAAAAUGAAAUUGUGCAGUAUAUUCCCAGUAUUCAAUUCCUAUACUGCACUAAUCUUAUCUUUAACCAUCCAUGGUGUUAAGUAUCGGCAACCAGUCAACCACUUUCAGUGGUGAGUUAUUUUUGAGAACUUCUAAAAAUCAGGGACCAUUUAGGUUACUAUCAGCACCACUCUUCAGUCUUUUUCACUCUUGGUUGAUUCUUUUAGAGUCCGAGAAAGAACCCACCCCAUAUGGUAGAAUCCCAAAAAUCAGGACAUGUAUUAGAUACUCUUUGGGUCUGGGAACCAAAACACACUGAUUUCCCGUCUUUAUCACAAGUCCAACAACGUUAAACUCUGUUUCAAGUUUUACUGUUUUUACUCUCGGCAUGAGCACAUCAUCAUGUGAAAGCAUUAAAAUCCAACCAUUAAAAUCCAAGUAAUAGCAAACUCACAAGUUGUAGCUUCGUGGAGAUCACUCGGCGACGAGCAGUAGCAGCAGGCUGCAGCAGCAGCGACGAGCAGCUGCAGCAACAGGAACGUGUUAACAUAUAUGUUUCCAUAAUAUUGAUUUUGAUGAUAACAAACAAGAUUAAGAAUGAUUAAUCUUUUAAGCCCAAAUUAUUUAAUAUUCUUUUUAAAUAAAUCAUUAUUUUUACAUUAUAAAGGUUUUAUAUUUAAUGGAAAAAUGAUUUUAUGAAAUUGAUUGUUUUUAUUCUUUUUAAAUAAAUCAUUAUUUUCACAUUAUAAAUGUUUCAUAUUUAAUGGAAAAAUGAUUUUAUGAAAUUGGUUGUUUUUCAAAGUUUAUGGUUUAAUUGAAAGAAUUUUGAAAACUUUGAAAUAAACAAGUAUUGCUUGAAAUUUUGGUAAAGGACUUAUGUGUAAAGUGUCAUAGCAUUUUUGGCUAUAUCAUAAUUUCAGAAAGUUUUGGGAUUAACAAAGCAUUACUUAGAAAUUCUGAAAUUGGACAUAUUUGCAAUGUUUUAUAACGUUUUGGGCCGUAACACAGUUUUAUAAAGUUUGGGGGUCAAACUGUGAAUUUGGAAAAUAUUUCACUGUAGCAGUUACUGUAGAAAACGGCGAUCCGACAUCUUGAUAACGGCUCGCCGACAUCUAACAGAAUUGAAGAUUAGUCUCUGGAAAUAAACGGCGAACCGACAUGUGUGAUAAACGGCUCGCCGAUAUCAACCAGUAGCCUCUGGACCUAAACGGCGAUCCGACAUAUAGUGUUAACGGCGAACCGUUUUCUGUCCGACAGUUUGUAACGGCUAGAUUUUUAGCUCUAACUAUAAAUAAGCUCAUCCAAAUUCAAACAAGAUUCAUCACAACACAACUAUUGAGCUUAUAUUUGAGAAUACAAUCUUCAUAGAGCUUUAAACACAUUCUCUCUUCAUCUAUUCACACAUUGGGCAUUGAUUUGUAAUCUUAAAUAUUGUGUGAGAGAAAAACAAUUUGUAAUCUUUUACUUUGAGUGAUUGUAAGUGUUGGGAUACACUUGGGUUAAGAGAUUGGGGAUAAUCUCUUGUUGUAAAGGUCCAUUGACACCUUGGAAGUCAAUUGUAAGCGUUUGAAGCCUUGGGAGGCUAGCUUAGUGAAAUCCUCAAGCCUGGUGAGCUUGGAGGCGUGGACGUAGGCGGUGAUUGCCGAACCACGUAAAAAUCAUUGUGUUUGUUUUUCUCUUCCCCUACUCUUUUAAUAUUGUGCAUGAUUGAAUUUAUUGUUUUCGAAUUGAUUAAGGCAAUAGAUUAAAUUGUUGAGCGAAUUGUACUGCAUAAUUUUUACAAUCCCAAUUCACCCCCCCUCUUGGGUUGCAUACUUGUAUUUCAGAACGAGCAGGGGCAGCGACGAGCGUGAGCAGCGGCAGCAGCAGUGACGAGUUCAGGGGCUGAAGGUCACAAGUUCAGUGGCUGAAGUGAAGAUCAGUUUACUCACUUUAGGUUUAGUUUAGGGAUUCCGAAUUAUUAUUCGGUUUAUUUGAUAAUCGGUUCAGUUUUUCGACAAUUCACCCCCCCUCUUGGGUUGCAUACUUGUAUUUCAGAACGAGCAGGGGCAGCGACGAGCGUGAGCAGCGGCAGCAGCAGUGACGAGUUCAGGGGCUGAAGGUCACAAGUUCAGUGGCUGAAGUGAAGAUCAGUUUACUCACUUUAGGUUUAGUUUAGGGAUUCCGAAUUAUUAUUCGGUUUAUUUGAUAAUCGGUUCAGUUUUUCGAUUUUUUUUUUAAACCGAAAACCGAACCGAUUGGUUUUACUAUUUUCUCUAUAUCACUAAUUCGGUUUUUUGGGUGUAAAAAAACCGUAAAAAACCCGAACCGAACCGAACGGUUCGGUUCGAUUUUUGAUUAAUCAACUUUUUUUGCCCACCCCUAGUUGCCGAGGAUUAAUUGUUUAUUAUGAUUUGUGAAAAUUAAUCUUAAUGGUGUUAACUUUGAUUUUAUUUUAAUUUUCUUAUUUUGUUGACAAGAAACUCUUGCAUGCGCAAAUACAAACCUGUUGAGUUUUAAUUUGAUCCAAAAAUUGAAAGAACCACAAAGAGAUUAAGAAGAGAGCACAAAAAUUCAAAAACUGAUGCAGCAAUGGAUGACUUACAAGAUAUGGAAAACUUGAACCGUCUUGGAGAAAUACAACCAGUCAAUGGUCAAAAAGGUCAAAAUAGACAAAAUAAUCAGGGACAAUCAGGAAACAACAACAUCUUAUACACUGCAGAUGAUAGAGAUAGGGCUAUUAGAGACUAUGUCGUGUUAACCCCUCAAGUUAUGUAUCCUGGAAUAGUUAGACCUCAAGUUGAAGCAACCAAUUUUGAACUCAAACUAGUGAUAUUUCAGAUGUUGCAAACAGUGGGGUAAUUCAAUGGAUUGCCAUAAAAAGACCUUCACCUUCACCUUAAAUUAUUCUUGGAGGUGAGUGAUGCUUUUAAAAUUGCUACAGCAUCACAGGAUCCAUUAAGACUCAGAUUUUUUCCAUAUUCUUUGAGAGAUCGAGCAUGGGCAUGGUUGAACUCUUUACCACCAGAUUCCAUCAUCACAUGGAAUGAUUUGGCUAAUAAAAGUUUUGAUGAAAUAUUUCCCACCAACCAAGAAUGCCAAGUUGAGAAAUGAGAUCAUAUCUUUUCAUCAACUUGCAGAUGAACACUUGUAUGAUGCAUGAGAAAGAUUUAAAGAGAUACUAAGAAGAUGUCCUCAUCAUGGUAUACCUUGCUGCAUACAAAUAAAAAAUUUCUACGAUGGAUUGAACUCAAGCACUAGAUUGAUGGUGGAUGCUUCCGUAAAUGGAGCUUUAUUGUCUAAGUCUUAGAAUGAGGCUUAUGAGAUUUUAGAGAAAAUUGCUAACAACAAUUACCAGUGGCCAUCAACUGGACAAGUUGUAACAAGAGGAGCAGUAAGAGUACAUAAUGUAGAUGCAUUUACAGUAUUAUCAGCCCAAAUAACUUCACUGACGAAUAUGGUAAAGGUUAUGACCAUUUCUCCAGCAGUUGUCAACCAAGUUGUCGAGGUAUCUUAUGUUUAUUGUGGAGAGGGAUACUCAUUUGAAAAUUGCACAGGGAAUCCUGUUUCAGUCAAUUAUGUGGGCAACUUUAAUAGACAAAACCAGAACAAUCCAUAUUCAAAUACUUACAACCUUGGAUGGAGGCAGAACCCAAACUUUUCAUGAAGCAACCAGAAUCAGCCUGCUGCAGCACUAGUGGCUAGAAGAAACAGGCACAACCACCAAGAUUUCACUAAACAAAUCAAGGGCAAAUGAACACAAACAAUUAUCAACUUAGUUCACUUGAAGUUUUGCUUAAGGAAUACAUCGUGAAAAAUGAAGCAGUUGUCCAAAGCCAAGCUGUAACCUUAAAGAAUCUAGAAAAUCAUAUUGAACAACUUGCUACAGCAUUGAGUAACAGACCUCAGGACAGUUUACCCAACAACACAGAAGAUCUAAGGAGAUAAAGAAAAGAACAUUGUAAGGUAAUUAACUUACGAUUUGGAAAAGAUAUUGAUAUAUCUGUUGGUGUGCCAAAGAGAAAAAUAAAACUUAUUUCAACCCAAGACGAAACUCAAGUUGAAAAAGAACUACAACAACCCAAUUUCCAAUAAACUGGUGAAAGUAGUCAAGCUACAGAAACUUCAAAAAGAAAUGAUUCAGUUCCUAUUGAAGAAGAAGUUGCAACACCAGCAACAAUAAAUCAGAACAGAUUAAAAGAAAACCAAAAUGCACCAUCUGCUGCAGUACGGCAAUUUAGAUACCCACCACCUUUCUAACAAAGAUUUUAAAAGCAGAAACAAGACAAGCAAUUCAGCUAAUUCUUGGAAGUACUAAAACAAUUGCAUAUCAACAUUUCUUUUGUGGAAGCAUUGGAACAAAUGCCCAAUUACGUGAAGUUUUUAAAGGAUAUUUUGGUAAAAAAGAAAAGGCUUGGAGAAUUUGAAAUUGUUUGCUCUAAUACAAAAAUGCAGGCAUAUGCUUCAAAAUAAACGAUCAGGGAGUUUUACAAUUCCAUGCUCUAGUGGAACUAGGUAUAAUAGUAGAGUACUUUGUGAUUUGGGGGCCAGCAUAAAUCUCAUGCCCUUAUCUGUGUUCAAGCAAUUGGGAGUGGGCGAAUGCAGACUAACAACAAUGACUUUAUAGCUGGCUGACAGAUCUCAUGCAUACCCUGAGGGAAAGAUCGAAGAUGUAUUAGCAAAGGUGGAUAAAUUUAUUUUUCCAAUGGAUUUCAUUGUAUUGGAUUUUGAAGCAGACAAAGAGGUACCAAUUAUUCUUGAUAGACCUUUCUUAGUCACAGAAAAAACUCUAAUUGAUGUACAAAAAUGAGAAUUAACUAUAAGAGUGAAUGACCAACAAGUCACAAUCAAUGUAUUGGAUGCUAUGAAGAAUCCCAAUGAGAUUGAAGAUUGUAAUUUCAUUAAUGUUGUGGACAUUGCUGUGACAAAAAGGUUAAACAAUUAGUGCAGCAAAGAAGAUAUCAAAGCUGCUACCUUUGAAAAGCUUGAAGAAGAGGAUGUUGCAACAACACACAUAGCAUGGAUAGAAGAAAAGCAACCAGUGAGACAUGAUAGACCUUUUGAAUCUCUAGACCUCUCAAACAAAGAAGUAAACAAUUUGUUCCAUCUGUUGAAUCAUCCCCUAUUUUAGAGUUGAAACUUUUACCUUCACAUCUAAAAUAUGUUUAUCUUGGCAAAAAUAACAUACUCCAUGUAAUCAUUUCAUCUUCUUUAAAUGUAGAUCAAGAGAAGAGUGAUUAGUAUUAAAAAUUGUUUAAUUAUCAAGCGAUAUUAUGUUAUUUUAUGCUUAUGUUAUAAUUUAUAUUUGUGUUUAUGUAAUAUAUUAGGAAUUAUUAAUUAUGUUUUAAAUAUAUUUAAUUUUGUGUAUUUUUAUGUGUUUAUUAGGAAAAAUAUUAAUUUCACGUAAUUCGAGGCUCCAAACAGAUAAACGGAGGUCAAAUUUGGAUUCUGGAGGUCCAAAAAUCUUAAGAUCAGUCAAGAUCGGCUUAAAAUUUGGCUUGUGUAAAACAAAGUUGACUUUUCCUAUUGACCGAGCACUGAUUGGAUGAUGAAAUGAGCUUACAAUAGAUAUGAGUGUAUGGGAUAGCUGGCAAUUUUGACUAAAUCUCAACUGUUCAUUAUUCAAUGGCCAUGAUUGUGCCACGUGGUAAUGGUUGGUGAAGCAAGUUGUAGGAUCCGAAACUUUGUAUUUGGGUCGACCCGAUCCACCCAUCAACCCGCCAAAUCUCAAUCGUUCUUUGGGCAAAUCGAACGAGUCAAACGAUGCCAUGUGUGAUGUUGACUUUUGAAGUUUGACCAGCCAUUGGAUCUUGAUCUAAAGGUUGUGAGGAGCACAUGCAUGAAGCUUAUAAUGGACCGCAAAGCACUAGAUUAUGAAUUUAUUUUUCUAUAAAUAGAGCCUCAUUUUUAUGUUUUUAAUAAUCUCUCUACAACUCUCUUCUUCUCAAAUUCUCUCCAUCUCCUUGUAAUCUUGAUUUUUAGGUGUGUUUUUAAUAUUUUGUAUAAUUAUUUUUAUAAAUAAAAUUAGUUUUAUUUCUAAUUUUAGUUGUUUUAUUACUUUUAAUUAUAAGUAAUUCAAUUUUACUACUUCUUUUUAUUUUAAUUAUGCUUAACUAAAUAAUAUUAGUUAGGGGAAGGUGAAACUCUUAGGAAAUAAAUAUGAUUUAAGCAAAUUCUAUUUUUAAUUUUAUAAAUUAAAUUAUUUUCUAUUUAAUUUUAUACAUAUUUUAUAUUUUGAAAUUUUGAUUUAUUGUAGACAAACAAAUGAAUUUGGCACAAUAAAUUCUUAAUAUCUUAAUAUAAGGUAUGAUAAAAUGGUAUUUUGACUUAUUAUAGACAAAUUAAAUUUUGGCAUAAUAAAUACUUAAUCCAUAAUAAAAUUAAAGGGAAAAUAAUAAUAAUUUAUAUAAUUAAUCUUUUGGGCAAAAAAUCUAAAAAAAAGGCAAAAAGAAUUUAUUAAGUUUUAUUUACUUUUAAGAGUGGAUCCAUAACCCUAACUAGUUCAAUUUCAUAGUUUCAUUUAAAUUAAGUUGUUUAUAUUUAAGUUUUAAUUUCAAUUUUUAGUUAAAAUAAAAUAAACAAAUUAAAUUUUUUCUCUGUGGAUCGACCUCGGAUUCACCGAAUUUUAAUACAACAAGACACUCUUAUAUUUAGGAGUUAAAAAUUACUUUUAAGUUGUGUCAAGUUUUUGGCGCCGUUGCCGGGGAAAAAUUUUUAUUUUGCUUUAUUUUUCCGUUUUUGAUUUUUCUCUAUGUAAAUGUUCUUUUUGCCCCCUUUUCUUUUUCUUGAAUUCUCUUUUGUCCCUGUAUCUUUCAUAAUUCUCGUUUCACCCCAACAAUUCUCGUUUCUAGCCCAAUCUUCUAGUAAUUAUAUUAUGACCCCAACCUCUUUCAGUUAUUUCACUUUCAUCCCAAAUUGCUCAAUUCUAGACUUCUAAAAAUUACAGUGUGGCCAUAAAAUUAAAAAUAAUUUGCAAUCGAAUCCCUAGACGAAAUUCCUCAAAAUAAUCGAGACUUGGACUUACAUCUUGGAAAUACUUUGGACAUAUUUGGACUUAUUUUGGACUUAAUUUGGACCAAACUAACUUUAACUACUAACACUAAUUACUAACUCUUAACUUACUAAUUGCUAACUCCUAAUUUAUAUUUUUUUAAUUUCAAUUAUUUAAUUUUCUGCAUUUAUUUUAUUUCGUAUUUAUUUAUUUAUUUUUGCUUUAUUGGUGGGUUCAACCACCAAACUAACUACUAACUCUUAAUUUUUAUUUUCAGUAUUUAUUUAAUUUUGUAUUUUUUUGCUUUAUUUUUUUUAAUUGGUGGGUUCAACCACCAUUUUUUUUAUUUUGCAUUUAUUUAUUUAUUUAUUUUUACUUUAUUGGUGGGCUCAACCACCAUUUUUUUCUUUUUCUUUCUUUUGCAUUUAUUUUAUACUUAAUUUAUUGUUAAUUGGUGGGUUCAACCACCAAAAUUGUUAUUUAAUUUUCUUUUGUACACUUAUAUUAUUUGCAUAUUUAAUUUUUUUAUUUUGUUAUUAAUUUAUGUAAAUAUUAUCUUUAUAACAUAACCAUUGCAUGAGACGUUGGUCUCGAUCUUCAAGUGGUAAGUUAAUUCGUAGAUCUCAAUCUCCACCACCAAUCAUGGAUGAGAAUCAAGGUGAAAACGAUUUGGGCGAACUUAAUCCUCAAAUUGAUCAGGGAAACAACCAAUCUCAACAUGGGCAUGAUCAGAAUCAACCAAGAACUCUGAGAGACUACAUGAAUCCAACCAGAACCGGAGCACCGUCGUGUAUAGUAUUUCCUCCAGAAGCAUCUCGAUUCAACUUUAAACUAGGUAUUAUCCAACUUUUACCAACAUUUCAUGGUUUAGAAUCGGAGAAUCCAUACUUGCAUCUAAGAGAUUUUGAGGAAGUUUGUAAUACAUACACGGACCAAAAUUGUAGCAUGAACAUAAUUAGAUUAAAGCUUUUUCCUUUUUCAUUAAAAGAUAAAGCUAAAACUUGGCUACAAAACCUUAGAUCUGGAUCAGUAAGAACUUGGAAUAACAUGCAAGAACAGUUUUUGAAAAAAUUCUUUCCACCUCAUAGAACAAAUUCUUUUAAAAGGAAAAUCACUUCUUUCACUCAAAAAAAUGGAGAAACAUUAUACCAAUGUUUUAAAAAGUAUAAAAAUGCAAUUGGAUGGACUUCUGCUGUACGGCCAAGGCGGAUGUACGGUACAGCAGUGGUGAAUUUAGGGAUAAAAAUCCUGAGGAUGCACUAGACUACCUUGACCAAUUAGCUAAAAAUGCACAACAUUGGGAUACUGUUGGAACUUUUGAAUUGACAAAUAAGCAACAAUCAUCUCCAUCUAGUGGAGGAAUCCAUAACCUUAGGGAAGAUCAUGAUUUACAAGUAAAAUUUGUAUCCAUAGUUAGGAAAGUUGAAGCUUUGGAGCAUAAAAAGAGUGAUCAAGUAAAAUCUGUUGAAGAAAUUGCAUGUAACAUAUGUAGUUCGAAUGAUCAUUUCACUCAAGAGUGUCCCACUUUGCCUGCACUUAAAGAAUGUCUAAAUGAUCAAGUUAAUGUCAUUAACACUUUCAAUAAACCAAACCCAUAUUCACAGACUUAUAAUCCUGCUUGGAGAAAUCAUCUGAAUUUCAGUUGGAGGAAUAAUAACAAUGCACAAUCUUCACAAGCACCACCUCCACAAAAUUUUCAAAAUCCUCAGCCUUAUGCACCAUAUGUUCCACCACCCUGGAAAAAUAUGGAAGACACAAUGCAUUCAUUCAUCAGAAAGCAAGAUAUUAUUAACAAUUAAAAUGCACAAACUUUUUUCUGAUUUGAAAGAUACUCUUGCUAAAAUUGCUUCUGCACUCACCAUUCAAGAAAAAGGAAAAUUUCCAGCCCAACCACAACCAAAUCCUAAGACUCAACAAAAUCCACCCACAGACCAAGUCAAGUCAAUUAUAAAUCUUUGUAGUGUUAAGGUUGUUGAUAAACCUAUGCCUGAACCUUGUGAAAAUAAUGAAAAUUCAAAGGGUAAAGAAGGACUAAAUGAACUUACACCUAGUGAAGAAAUAACUAGUGUUCCACCUGAACCACCAUUUCCGCAUGCAUUGAAUAAACCAAGGAAAUCAAACCACUCUUCUGAAAUUUAUGAAAUCUUUAAGCAAGUGAAAGUUAACAUUCCUCUAUUAGAUGCAAUCAAGCAGGUACCUUCAUAUGCCAAAUUUUUAAAGGACUUGUGCACUGUUAAGAGGAAAUUGAAGGUAAGAAAGAGUGCUUUCAUGGCCGAACAGGUAAGUACAAUUAUGUCUACUAAUAAUAAGUUGAAAUAUAAAGAUCCUGGUUGUCCUACCAUUUCUUGUAUUAUUGGUAACCACAGAAUUGAGCAUGCUUUAUUAGAUCUUGGUGCUAGUGUUAAUUUGCUUCCAUAUUCAGUUUAUCUUCAACUUAAUCUUGGUGAGUUAAAAUCAACUUCAACUACACUUUUGCUUGCCGAUAGAUCCGUUAAAGUACCAAAAGGAAUAGUGGAAGAUGUUUUAGUACAAGUUGAUAAAUUUAUUUAUCCUGUGGAUUUUAUUGUCUUGGAAACUGAACCUGUUGUGAAUAAUUACAAACCAAUUCCUGUAAUUUUAGGUCGACCAUUUUUAGCAACUGCUAAUGCUUUGAUUAAUUGUAGGAAUGGUUUAAUGAAUUUAUCUUUUGGGAAUAUGACUUUGGAAUUGAAUGUUUUCAACAUGUGCAGGCAACCUAAUGAAGAAAAUGAGAAUGAAGAUGAUACUGAUGAACAAAAGGAAUUGUUUGAAUCUUGUAUCGAGGAAAAUAUUCAAAAAGGGGAUUUUUCUGAACUUUCUAAUGUUUGUUUAGUUAAUUCAAUUGAGUCAAAUAAGCAACUUGAACUUGAUAUUUCUAAUAUAAAUUCGUUGCUUGAUUCUAUGCAGACUUCGCAAAAUUAUGAUGACGAGCCAAAAUUUGAGGAGCUUGGAAGUAUUGAAAAGACAGAACAACAAGACGCACCUAAAAUGGAAUUGAAACCUUUGCCUGAAGGAUUGAAAUAUGCUUUUCUUGGAGAAGAACAAACUUAUCCUGUUGUGAUUUCUUCUACUUUAACAAGCGACCAAGAAGGUAAGUUACUAAUUGUUCUUAAAAAGCAUAAAAAUGCAAUAGGAUGGACUUUAAAUGACAUUAAAGGCAUUAAUCCCUUAAUCUGCACACAUAGAAUUAAUUUGGAAGAAAAUGCUAAAAUAUGUCAGCAACCUCAAAGAAGAUUAAACCCACACAUGAAAGAGGUAGUCAAAACAGAAGUCCUUAAAUUACUUGAUGUGGGAAUUAUCUACCCUAUUUCUGAUAGUAAGUGGGUAAGUCCUACACAAGUAGUGCCUAAAAAAUCUGGAAUCACUGUUGUUAAAAAUGAAAAAGGUGAAUUAAUUCCAACACGAAUUACAUCUAGUUGGCGCAUGUGCAUUGAUUAUAGAAAAUUAAAUGAAGCCACUAGAAAAGAUCAUUUUUCAUUACCAUUUCUUGACCAAAUCUUAGAAAGAGUAGCAGAACAUCCAUACUAGUGUUUUUUAUAUGGAUAUUCAGGUUAUUAUCAAAUUCCUAUAGCACUUGAGGACCAAGAAAAGACCACAUUUACAAGUCCUUUUGGAACAUUUGUAUUUAAAAGAAUGUCAUUUAGGUUUUGUAAUGCUCCUAAAACAUUUCAAAGAUGUAUGUUAGCAUUUUUUGUGAUAUGGUUGAACAUUGUUUAGAGGUCUUUAUGAAUGAUUUGACUGUGUUUGGGAAUUCUUUUGAUGAUUGCCUUGAUAAUUUGGAGAAAGUUUUAAAAAAGAUGUGUUGAAAAAGAACUUGUGUUGAAUUGGGAAAAAUGUCACUACAUGGUUACUUUUGGAAUUGUUUUGGGUCAUAUUGUUUCUAUUAAAGGAAUUGAAGUUGACAAAGCAAAAAUCGAAGUCAUAUCUAAAUUGCCACAACCAAAAACAGUUAGAGAUGUGCGAUCCUUUUUAGGACAUGCAGGAUUUUAUAGGAGGUUUAUAAAAAACUUUAGUGCCAUAUCUAAACCACUUUGUAACCUCUUAUUAAAAGAUGCACCGUUUGAAUGGAAUGAUGAUUGCCAAAAAUCUUUUGAAAAAAUAAUUUGUCUUUUAACAUCUGCACCUAUUAUGCAAUCUCCUGAUUGGUCUUUGCCAUUUGAACUAAUGUGUGAUGCAAGUGAUUUUGCUGUUGGUGCUGUUUUAGGACAAAGAAGGGAUGGUAAGCCUUUUGUGAUUUAUUAUGCGAGCAAGACUUUGGAUAGUGCUCAAAUGAAUUAUUCUACAACUGAAAAAGAAUUACUUGCUAUGGUAUUUGCAUUAAACAAAUUUCGUUCAUAUUUGCUUGGCUCUAAAUCUGUUGUGUUUACUGACCACGCUGCUGUGAGAUAUUUGAUGAGUAAACAGGAUGCCAAACCGAGACUAAUUCGUUGGAUUUUGUUACUACAAGAAUUUAACCUUACCAUCAAAGAUAAAAAGGGUGCUGAAAAUGUUGUUGCUGAUCAUCUAUCAAGACUCACAUCCGAAUUCUGCAAUGAUAUAACACCCAUAAAUGAUUCUUUCCCUGAUGAAUUUUUAUUUUCUGUUACUUCAAUGCCAUGGUAUGCUAACAUUGUUAAUUUCCUUGUUACAGGUAAAAUGCCUUUGCAAUGGAAUGCUCAAGAGAAAAAGAAAUUUUUUGUUGAAGUAAAGAAAUUUUAUUGGGAUGAUCCUUAUUUGUUCAAAUAUUGCCCAGAUCAAAUUUUUCGGCGAUGUAUUCCUGAUAAUGAGGUAAGUAGUGUCAUUAAUUUUUGUCAUUCUGAAGCAUGUGGUGGUCAUUUUUCUUCAAGAAAAACUACUGCUAAAAUUUUACAGUGUGGAUUUUAUUGGCCUACCAUGUUUAAAGACACAUAUGAAUUUUGCAAAAGUUGUCUGCUGUACCGUACAUCCGCCUUGGCCGUACAGCAGUUUGUAAUAAGUCAUUUGAGUCUUUAAUGAAGAAAUAUGGAAUUACACAUAAAAUUGCUACCCCUUAUCAUCCUCAAACAAAUGGUCAAGUUGAAUUAGCAAAUAGGGAGAUAAAACAAAUUUUGGAAAAAACAGUUAACCCAAAUCGAAAAGAUUGGUCUCUUAGACUUAAUGAUGCACUUUGGGCUAUUAAAGCGUAUUGCAUUUAAAACGUCAUUAGGAAUGUUACCCUAUCGGUUAGUUUAUGGUAAACCUUGUCAUUUAUUUGUUGAACUUGAACAUAAAUCACUUUGGGCUAUUAAAGCUUUUAAUUCAAAUUUGGAUGAUGCUGGUAAUGUGCGAAAAUUGCAAUUGAAUGAACUUGAGAAAUUAAGGAAUGAUGCAUAUGAAAAUUCAAAAAUCAUUAAGGCAAGAACAAAAGCAUUUCAUGAUAAAAGAAUGUUUCGAAAAACAUUUGAGAUUGGUCAAAAAGUGUUGCUUUAUAAUUUUCGUCUUCAUUUAUUUCCAGGAAAGUUAAAGUCAAAAUAGAGUGGCCCAUUUGUUGUAAAAAAGAUAUAUUCAUAUGGGGCCAUAGAAAUUGAGAAUCCAAAGAACGGUGUCACAUUUAAAGUAAAUGGUCAAAGAUUAAAACCAUAUCUGGAACAUCACCCACGUGACGAGGACACCGAAAUUAAUUUGGGUGACCCACCAGUUCUUGAUUAAGUCUUUAACGAUUGAUUUUUUUUUGUUUUGCUAUUAUUUUGCCGUUUCAUUGUUUGAUUUUUUUUUCUAGAUUGAUGCACUGUACAUAUUUUUUUAACAUUAUUUUUCUUGUGUAAGUUAUUUUUCUUGUGUAAAAGUGUUUGUUUGACAGUUGUACAUUCUCUCAUCAAUUUUCAUUUUACAUCAUGAGCACCUCAAUGAGAAAAUUCUUGUUCGCACAUCUUAAAAGAUUUCUUCGUGUGAAAUUUCACUUGAGCGGCCUGAUACAAAGCUGUAAAUCACAUCCACUUUGGGAUCUGCAACCACCAGAAUUCGUGUCCUAUGUUGAGGAUCUAGAGGGACAACUCAGAGCAGUAGAGCGUGGCAUAUAUGAAUUUCAAUUGGAGCUUGAGAUUAACUCAAUGAGAGGACGAAUGUAAGUUCAUUUUCCUUUUAUAUUGUGUGCUUCUUUUUGCUCGCUUUCAUGUUUAAUUUGAUUUUGCAGAUUUGAUUUUGGUGUGUUUUGAUUUAUUUUCCCAUAUAAAUGGCGGAUAACGGUACUCUAUGACUUCUUAAGUCGGUAUCUUCAGUUUCCCACAAUAACUGAAACCCCAAAAUCAAACAUGAAAGACAUACAAUAUAAACUCCAUAAGCAUUUUCCCUCUCUCCCUCAGAAUGCCCUCAGGAAAAUUUACAAAGCUCGUUGUGAACGACUGCGUUUGUUAAUGAUCAAUGGCAUUCAUUCUGACAUUCGUUGGUUAAUUGAAGCAAAGGUUCGAUUAGCAGGUGAGUUUUCUGAUCCAUUUGUUUCUUACAUGCCUGGUUUUGGUAAAAGUACGUGACACAACUUAAAAGUAAUUUUUAACUCCCAAGUAUAAGAGUGUCUUGUUGUAUUAUAACUCGGUGAGUCCGAGGUCGAUCCACAGAGAAAAGAUUUAAUUAGUUUAUUUUAUUUUAUCUAAAAAUUGAAAUUAAAACUUGAAUAUAAACAACUUAAUUUAAAUGAAACUAUGGAAUUGAACUAGUUAGGGUUAUGGAUCCACUCUUAGAAAUAAAUAAAACUUAAUAAAUUCUUUUUGCCAAUUUGUUUUAGAUUUAUUACCCAAAAGAUUAAUUAUACAAAUUAUUAUUAUUUUCCCUUCAAUUUUAUGAUGGAUUAAGUAUUUAUUGUGCCAAAAUUUAAUUUGUCUACAAUAAGUCAAAAUACCAUUUCACCAUGCCUUAUAUUAAGAUCUUAAGAAUUUAUUGUGCCAAAUUCAUUUGUUUGUCUACAAUAAAUCAAAAUUUCAAAAUAUAAAACAUGUAUAAAAUUAAAUAGAAAACAAUUUAAUUUAUAAAAUUAAACAUAGAAUUUGAUUAAAUCAUAUUUAUUUCUUAAGAGUUUCACCUUCCCCUAACUAAUAUUAUUUAGUUAAGCAUAAUUAAAAUAAAAACUGCUGUACCGUACAUCCGCCUUGGCCGUACAGCAGCUAUUGCCCACCCGUUUUUAGGCCAUUUUUCCGCUGGGGGUUUUGGCACCACGACCUUCGGGCGCUUAUUUUUGGGCGCGGCUUUGCCCGCGGCUUAUUUUUGGCACCCCGAGGCCCCUCGCAAAGUCUCGCCCCAUUCCGAGUCCGGCGGACGAACUUCGCCCGCGCCCCCCACCAAGGCUAUAGCCCACCCGUUUUGUGGCCAUUUUUCCGCUGGGGGGUUUGGGCACCACGACCUUCGGGCACUUAUUUUUGGGCGCGGCUUUGCCCGCGGCUUAUUUUUGGCACCCCGAGGCCCCUCGCAAAGUCUCGCCCCAUUCCGAGUCCGGCGGACGAACUUCGCCCGCGCCCCCCACCAAGGCUAUAGCCAUUAAGAUUUAUAAAAUUCACAUGCAAGUUAAUAGUUGUUCAUCUAUCCUCUAAAUUACCAAAUAAAUGAACUCUCCCAAAUUUCUUUACCACAUUGAUGUUCACUCAUUAUCCAGAAUAUCAUCAAACCUUCUUUUGUGCUCAAGUAAUUAACACAAUACUUAUGGGGCUUCAUUAAAGAAAAACAAUAUUUUCGUUCCAAAAUUCAUUAGAAAUUAUAUCUUUAGGCAAUAGAUUAUUCACACAUAUUUUUUUUUAAAUAUUACAUUUCUAACCCGUGUAGCGAGCUUUAGGUCAGUGACUCCCAGACCAGUUAGCCUUAGGGCACUAGGUGUUGAAGCACCCCUUCGGACUUAAUUACUCGGGUUUCUAAUAAACAAACAAUAUAUAUAUUACCCAUGUAGCGAGUUUUAGGCCAAUGACUCCCAGACCAGUUGACCUUAAGGCACUAGGUGUUGAAACACCCCUACGGACUUAAUUACUCGGGUUUCUAGAUAUAACAAAAUUAAAAACAUUUUUUUCUUCUUUUUUUUUUUGAAAUAUACACUUUCUACUACCUUAGAUAAUAUAUCUAAUAAAUCAAAAGAACUAAAUGCUGUAAAAUUUUAACUUACAACCCACUAGUAUGUGUCAUAAUGUGUGUGUGAAGAAUGAUUCAAUAAUAUCUGUUAAAUGAGUAAACAAUUACAUAACUUAAUAACCAAGUGGAGAGUUCACAAAUUUGAGUAAUUCAAAGAAAAUAGAACAAAAAAAAACUUACUGUGAAUCUCAAAAUCAAAAUAUAAUACAACAAGACUAUUAGAAUGCGUCUCAAAAGUUGUUACUCUUUACAUAGCCAUCCUAGACAAAAAACAAAAAUGUUUUUUUUUGUUUUUUUUUAACAAAGAAAAGAAAAGAGAAAAGAGAAAAACAACACACAUAUUUAAAAACAUACAUCAAUUAUCCCCACCCCACAACCUAAUCUAAACAUUAUCUUAACAUUUUAUAAUUUUACAAAUAUGCAAAAAAUAAUAAUAAUAAUAAUAAAAGAGAAAAAUAAAAGAAGAAGAAGAGGAGAUCUCACCUGAACUUGAUGCAGAAGCUUAAAAACGGAUAACAAAGAUGAAGAAAAAGUCAAUUUUUUUUUUAACAACACCCUUAAGAUUAAGAAGAUGCGUUUCUAGAUAUACUACAUUCUCUAUAUCCUGCCAUCUUCGACUCAAAUUUGUCCUAAGUUAGUCUUUACAGAAAAAAAAAUUUUUUUUUUUAUGUAAACACAUCACCAGGACCAAGACAUUCCACAAUUAUCAACUAUUCCCCCCCCCCACCUGAAAAAGACAUUGUCCUCAAUGUUUUAAAAGGAAAGAGAAAGAGUUUAGAAGACAGCACAUAAAUACUGCAACAAAAAAUAUUUACAGACGGAGAGUUAAAUCUAAAUCGCACUUCUUAUUACUGCUAUUGUUACCACUACCAUCAUCAGCCGACCAAUUCAGUGCAAAAGUAUUUUGAUCUGGCUCUGGUGUAUAAGCUUGUAAAAGAUCAAGUAACUCAUUAGCAGUAGAAGCACAGAUAAAGAGUUUUUUUACAGAAUGUGGAACAAAAUGAUUCUUUAUUGCAUGGUUAAUAAAAGUUAGCAAGCCAUCAUAAAAAUUAUUAAUAUUUAACAAACCGAUGGGUUUUUGAUGAAUGUUCAAGUGGGCUCAAGAUGCAAAUGUAAUCAGUGCCUCAAAAGUUGCAAGAUCUCCUGGCAAGAAAAUAAAAGCAUCAGCAUGACUCAUCAUUUAAGAUAUUCUCUCUUGCAUACUUGAUACCACUAAUUAUUCUCCAAUUGGUGGGCCAGACAUGCACACUAGCGGUUUCAUGGGUUUUGGGAUAAUGGCGAGUACUUGGCUUCCUCUGGUAAAAACAGCUUCUGAGACAAGUCUUGAUAACCCUCGUUCACCUCCUCCAUAUACAAGAUGCAGUUUCCUCUCUGCUAUGACACGACCAAGAUCUACAGCUGCCUGAACGAACUCUUUGUACUUUCCAUAGUGAAACCCAGAAAGCACACAAAUGUUUUUGAAUUGUUUACUCGAAGAUGCUGCCAUUGGACUAAUUUUUUCAAAAACAAGUUGUGAGUGUUUGAAAAACGAGCUCAUAUUUAAAGAUCUUGGUGACAUAAAUAAUGAGAAACAGCUGUAAAUGGGUUGGCAUAUUUGUCAAAUGACGAGUAAAGCUCGUGGCUCAAUAAUUCAAAAACAAACAGUAAAAAGAAAAUAAUGAUUAGAAAUAACAAACAGUAAAAGAAAACAAAUAUUUAUUAAAUACAAAAUCACAUCGCUAAAUGUAAUAAUGCAAAUGGUAUAAUAACAGUAAAGUAAAAUAACAGUGAAGUGAAAGGAUAUGUACUGGUAGUUGUGAUUGUGGCUCACAUCUUCCUCUGGUUUUACAUCCAGUAACGGCUUGAACGCCCUCUAUGGGUCGAGGAUCGGCUUCCCAUCCAGUUUUCUUAUAAACUGGCAAACAUGGUCUUUUUGAGUCAGAUUCCCAAGACUUAACUGUGCACUUUGUUUUUGGAAUAGUAUCCACAAAUUGUAAAUCUCACGUUGCACAAAUCCGCUUCGAUGCGUCUCAAGAGAUCCUAAGAUAUCAUCCAACGAUUCUUUACUCAUGCCAUCUUUAACGAAUUUAAUUUUAUCUUCACGAGUAUCAGAAACCAUUCCUAAAGAUUUACAAUCCAGUCGUUUGCAACCAAGUCUUACACAGUUAUGACAUUUUGAGCCAAGUCGUUUAGCUCUCCUUUUCUAAACCAGGCAUGUAAGAAACAAAUGGAUCAUGUAAGAAACAAAUGGAUCAGAAAACUCACCUACUAAUCGGACUUUUGCUUCAAUUAACCAACGAAUGUCAGAAGGAAUGCCAUUGAUCAUUAACAAACGCAGUCGUUCACAACGAGCUUUGUAAAUUUUCCUGAGGGCAUUCUGAGGGAGAGAGGGAAAAUGCUUAUGGAGUUUAUGUUGUAUUUCUUCCAUGUUUGAUUUUGGGGUUUCAGUUAUUGUGGGAAACUGAAGAUACCGACUUAAGAAGUCACGGAGUACCGUUAUCCGCCAUUUAUACGGGAAAAUAAAUCAAAACACACCAAAAUCAAAUCUGCAAAAUCAAAUCAAGCGUGAAAGCGAGCAAAAAAAAAAACACACAAUAUAAAAGGAAAAUGAACUUACAUUCAUCCUCUCAUUGAGUUAACCUCAAACUCCAUUUGAAAUUCAUAUAUGCCACUCUCUACUGUUCUGAGUUGUCCCUCUAGAUCCUCAACAUAGGACACGAAUUCAGGUGGUUGCAGAUCCCAAAGUGGAUGUGAUUUAUAGCUUUGUAUCAGGCCUCUUAAGUGAAAUUUUAUACGCAUAAAUCUUUUAAUAUAUGCAAACAGGUAUUUUCUCAUUGAGGUGCUCAUGAUGUAAAAUGAAAAUUGAUGAGAGAAUGUACAACUGUCAAACAAACACGCUUACACAAGAAAAACAAUGUUAAAAAAAACUAUGUACAGUGCAUCAAUCUAGAGAAAAAAAAAAUCAAACAAUGAAACAAUAAAAUAAUAGUAAAACAAAACAAAAAUAAAAUAAAAUAAAUCAUUAAAGAGUUAAUCAAGAACUGGUGGGUCACCUAAAUUAAUUUUCGUGUCCUUGUCAUGUGGGUGAUGUUCCAGAUAUGGUUUUAAUCUUUGACCAUUAACUUUAAAUGUGACACCAUUCUUUGGAUUCUCAAUUUCUAUGGCCCCAUGUGAAUAUAUAUUUUUUACAACAAAUGGGCCACUCCAUUUUGACUUUAACUUCCCUUGAAAUAAAUGAAGACGAGAAUUAUAAAGAAAUACUUUUUGACCAAUCUCAAAUGUUUUUCGAAAAAUUCUUUUAUCAUGAAAUGCUUUUGUUCUUGCCUUAAUAAUUCUUGAAUUUUCAUAUGCAUCAUUCCUUAAUUCCUCAAGUUCAUUCAAUUGCAAUUUUCGCACAUUACCAGCAUCAUCCAAAUUUGAAUUAAAAGCUUUAAUAGCCCAAAGUGAUUUAUGUUCAAGUUCAACAGGUAAAUGACAAGGUUUACCAUAAACUAACCGAUAGGGUGACAUUCCUAAAGACGUUUUAAAUGCAGUACGGUAAGCCCAAAGUGCAUCAUUAAGUCUAAGAGACCAAUCUUUUCGGUUUGGGUUAACCGUUUUUUCCAAAAUUUAUUUUAUCUCCCUAUUUGCUAAUUCAACUUGACCAUUUGUUUGAGGAUGAUAAGGGGUAGCAAUUUUAUGUGUAAUUCCAUAUUUCUUCAUUAAAAACUCAAAUGACUUAUUACAAAAAUGCUUACCACCAUCACUGAUAAUGGCUCGAGGGAUUCCAAAUCGACUUAAAAUAUUUUCUCUUAAAAAUUUAAUCACAGUUUUACUAUCAUUAUUUCGACAAGAAAUUGCUUCAAUCCAUUUUGAGACAUAAUCAACUGCAACUAAUAUAUACACAAAUCCAAAAGAUGAUGGAAAUGGACCCAUGAAAUCAAUUCCCCAACAGUCAAAUAUUUCAAUUUCAAGUAUGGGAUUUAAGGGCAUCAUGUUUCUUUUUGUAAUUGAUCCCAAUUUUUGACAUUUUUCACAACUUUUACACUUGAUAGAUGAUCAGCAACAACAUUUUCAACACCUUUUUUAUCUUUGAUGGUAAGGUCAAAUUCUUGUAGUAACAAAAUCCAACGAAUUAGUCUCGGUUUGGCAUCCUGUUUACUCAUCAAAUAUCUCACAGCAGCAUGGUCAGUAAACACAAUAGAUUUAGAGCCAAGCAAAUAUGAACGGAAUUUGUUUAAUGCAAAUACCACAGUAAGUAAUUCUUUUUCAGUUGUAGAAUAAUUCAUUUGAGCACUAUCCAAAUUCUUACUCGCAUAAUAAAUCACAAAAGGUUUACCAUCCUUUCUUUGUCCUAAAACAGCACCAACAGCAAAAUCACUUGCAUCACACAUUAGUUCAAAUGGCAAAGACCAAUCAGGAGAUUGCAUAAUAGGUGCAGAUGUUAAAAGACAAAUUAUUUUUUCAAAGGAUUUUUGGCAAUCAUCAUUCCAUUCAAACGGUGCAUCUUUUAAUAAGAGGUUACAAAGUGGUUUAGAUAUGGCACUAAAGUUUUUUAUAAACCUCCUAUAAAAUCCUGCAUGUCCUAAAAAGGAUCGCACGUCUCUAACUGUUUUUGGUUGUGGCAAUUUAGAUAUGACUUCGAUUUUUGCUUUGUCAACUUCAAUUCCUUUAAUAGAAACAACAUGACCCAAAACAAUUCCAGAAGUAACCAUGUAGUGACAUUUUUCCCAAUUCAACACGAGUUCUUUUUCAACACAUCUUUUUAAAACUUUCUCCAAAUUAUCAAGGCAAUCAUCAAAAGAAUUCCCAAACACAGUCAAAUCAUCCAUAAAGACCUCUAAACAAUGCUCAACCACAUCACAAAAAAUGCUUAACAUACAUCUUUGAAAUGUUGCAGGAGCAUUACAAAGCCCGAAUGGCAUUCUUUUAAAUGCAAAUGUUCCAAAUGGACAUGUAAAUGUGGUCUUUUCUUGCUCCUCAAGAGCUAUAGGAAUUUGAUAAUAGCUCCAAAGUGCAUCAUUAAGUCUAAGAGACCAAUCUUUUCGGUUUGGGUUAACCGUUUUUUCCAAAAUUUGUUUUAUCUCCCUAUUUGCUAAUUCAACUUGACCAUUUGUUUGAGGAUGAUAAGGGGUAGCAAUUUUAUGUGUAAUUCCAUAUUUCUUCAUUAAAGACUCAAAUGACUUAUUACAAAAAUGCUUACCUCCAUCACUGAUAAUGGCUCGAGGGAUUCCAAAUCGACUUAAAAUAUUUUCUCUUAAAAAUUUAAUCACAGUUUUACUAUCAUUAUUUCGACAAGAAAUUGCUUCAAUUCAUUUUGAGACAUAAUCAACUGCAACUAAUAUAUACACAAAUCCAAAUGAUGAUGGAAAUGGACACAUGAAAUCAAUUCCCCAACAGUCAAAUAUUUCAAUUUCAAGUAUGGGAUUUAAGGGCAUCAUGUUUCUUUUUGUAAUUGAUCCCAAUUUUUGACAUUUUUCACAACUUUUGCAAAAUUCAUAUGUGUCUUUAAACAUGGUAGGCCAAUAAAAUCCACACUGUAAAAUUUUAGCAGUAGUUUUUCUUGAAGAAAAGUGACCACCACAUGCUUCAGAAUGACAAAAAUUAAUGACACUACUUACCUCGUACAGCAGAAUACAUCGCCGAAAAAUUUGAUCUGGGCAAUAUUUGAACAAAUAAGGGUCAUCCCAAUAAAAUUUCUUAACUUCAACAAAAAAAUUCUUCUUCUCUUGAGCAUUUCAUUGCAAAGGUAUUUUACCUGUAACAAGAAAAUUAACAAUAUUAGCAUACCAUGGCAUUGAAGUAACAGAAAAUAAAAAUUCAUCAGGGAAAGAAUCAUUUAUGGGUGUUAUAUCAUUGCAGAAUUCGGAUGUAAGUCUUGAUAGAUGAUCAGCAACAACAUUUUCAGCACCCUUUUUAUCUUUGAUGGUAAGGUCAAAUUCUUGUAGUAACAAAAUCCAACGAAUUAGUCUCGGUUUGGCAUCCUGUUUACUCAUCAAAUAUCUCACAGCAGCAUGGUCAGUAAACACAACAGAUUUAGAGCCAAGCAAAUAUGAACGGAAUUUGUUUAAUGCAAAUACCACAGCAAGUAAUUCUUUUUCAGUUGUAGAAUAAUUCAUUUGAGCACUAUCCAAAGUCUUGCUCGCAUAAUAAAUCACAAAAGGCUUACCAUCCCUUCUUUGUCCUAAAACAGCACCAACAGCAAAAUCACUUGCAUCACACAUUAAUUCAAAUGGCAAAGACCAAUCAGGAGAUUGCAUAAUAGGUGCAGAUGUUAAAAGACAAAUUAUUUUUUCAAAAGAUUUUUGGCAAUCAUCAUUCCAUUCAAACGGUGCAUCUUUUAAUAAGAGGUUACAAAGUGGUUUAGAUAUGGCACUAAAGUUUUUUAUAAACCUCCUAUAAAAUCCUGCAUGUCCUAAAAAGGAUCGCACAUCUCUAACUGUUUUUGGUUGUGGCAAUUUAGAUAUGACUUCGAUUUUUGCUUUGUCAACUUCAAUUCCUCUGCUGUACCGUACAUCCGCCUUGGCCGUACAGCAGAACUAUGUACAGUGCAUCAAUCUAAAGAAAAAAAUCAAACAAUGAAACGGUAAAAUAAUAGUAAAACAAAAAAAAAUCAUUAAAGACUUAAUCAAGAACUGGUGGGUCAUCCAAAUUAAUUUCGGUGUCCUCGUCACGUGGGUGAUGUUCCAGAUAUGGUUUUAAUCUUUGACCAUUAACUUUAAAUGUGACACCGUUAUUUGGAUUCUCAAUUUCUAUGGCCCCAUAUGAAUAUACAUUUUUUACAACAAAUGGGCCACUCCAUUUUGACUUUAACUUUCCUGGAAAUAAAUGAAGACGAGAAUUAUAAAGCAACACUUUUUGACCAAUCUCAAAUGUUUUUCGAAAAAUUCUUUUAUCAUUAAUUCACCUUUUUCAUUUUUAACAACAGUGAUUCCAGAUUUUUUAGACACUACUUGUGUAGAACUUACCCACUUACUAUCAGAAAUAGGGUAGAUAAUUCCCACAUCAAGCAAUUUAAGGACUUCUGUUUUGACUACCUCUUUCAUGUGUGGGUUUAAUCUUCUUUGAGGUUGUUGACAUGUUUUAGCAUUUUCUUCCAAAUUAAUUCUAUGCAUGCAAAUUAAGGGAUUAAUGCCUUUAAUAUCAUUUAAAGUCCAUCCUAUUGCAUUUUUAUGCUUUUUAAGAACAGUAAGUAACUUACCUUCUUGGUUGCUUGUUAAAGUAGAAGAAAUCACAACAGGAUAAGUUUGUUCUUCUCCAAGAAAAACAUAUUUCAAUCCUUCAGGCAAAGGUUUUAAUUCCAUUUUAGGUGCUUCUUGUUGUUCUGUCUUUUCAAUACUUUCAAGCUCCUCAAAUUUUGGCUCGCCAUCAUAAUUUUGUGAAGUCUGCACAGAAUCAAGCAACGAAUUUAUAUUAGAAAUAUCAAGUUCAAGUUGCUUAUUUGACUUAAUUGAAUUAACUAAACAAACAUUAGAAAGUUCAGAAAAAUCCCCUUUUUGAAUAUUUUCCUCGAUACAAGAUUCAAACAAUUCCUUUUGUUCAUCAGUAUCAUCUUCAUUCUCAUUUUCUUCAUUAGGUUGCCUGCACAUGUUGAAAACAUUCAAUUCCAAAGUCAUAUUCCCAAAGGAUAAAUUCAUUAAACCAUUCCUACAAUUAAUCAAAGCAUUAGCAGUUGCUAAAAAUGGUCGACCUAAAAUUACAGGAAUUGGUUUGUAAUUAUUCACAACAGGUUCAGUUUCCAAGACAAUAAAAUCCACAGGAUAAAUAAAUUUAUCAACUUGUACUAAAACAUCUUCCACUAUUCCUUUUGGUACUUUAACUGAUCUAUCGGCAAGCAAAAGUGUAGUUGAAGUUGAUUUUAACUCACCAAGAUUAAGUUGAAGAUAAACUGAAUAUGGAAGCAAAUUAACACUAGCACCAAGAUCUAGUAAAGCAUGCUCAAUUCUGUGGUUACCAAUAAUACAAGAAAUGGUAGGACAACCAGGAUCUUUAUAUUUCAACUUAUUAUUAGUAGACAGAAUUGUACUUACCUGUUCGGCCAUGAAAGCACUCUUUCUUACCUUCAAUUUCCUCUUAACAGUGCACAAGUCCUUUAAAAAUUUGGCAUAUGAAGGAACCUGCUUGAUUGCAUCUAAUAGAGGAAUGUUAACUUUCACUUGCUUAAAGAUUUCAUAAAUUUCAGAAGCUGCUGUACGGCCAAGGCGGAUGUACGGUACAGCAGUUCUUUGUCCUAAAACAGCACCAACAGCAAAAUCACUUGCAUCACACAUUAAUUCAAAUGGCAAAGACCAAUCAGGAGAUUGCAUAAUAGGUGCAGAUGUUAAAAGACAAAUUAUUUUUUCAAAAGAUUUUUGGCAAUCAUCAUUCCAUUCAAACGGUGCAUCUUUUAAUAAGAGGUUACAAAGUGGUUUAGAUAUGGCACUAAAGUUUUUUAUAAACCUCCUAUAAAAUCCUGCAUGUCCUAAAAAGGAUCGCACAUCUCUAACUGUUUUUGGUUGUGGCAAUUUAGAUAUGACUUCAAUUUUUGCUUUGUCAACUUCAAUUCCUUUAAUAGAAACAACAUGACCCAAAACAAUUCCAGAAGUAACCAUGUAGUGACAUUUUUCCCAAUUCAACACGAGUUCUUUUUCAACACAUCUUUUUAAAACUUUCUCCAAAUUAUCACAUAUGUUAAGCAACUCUUUAAACCUAUCCCAACAUUGGUAUAAUGUUUCUCCAUUUUUUUGAGUGAAAGAAGUGAUUUGCCUUUUAAAAGAAUUUGUUCUAUGAGGUGGAAAGAAUUUUUUCAAAAACUGUUCUUGCAUGUUAUUCCAAGUUCUUACUGAUCCAGAUCUAAGGUUUUGUAGCCAAGUUUUAGCUUUAUCUUUUAAUGAAAAAGGAAAAAAACUUUAAUCUAAUUAUGUUCAUGCUACAAUUUUGGUCCGUGUAUGUAUUACAAACUUCCUCAAAAUCUCUUAGAUGCAAGUACGGAUUCUCAAAUUCUAAACCAUGAAAUGUUGGUAAUAGUUGGAUAAUACCUGGUUUAAUAUUUACCACUUACCUCCUAAUUUUUUUCAUAAUAUAAAAAAACUUAAUUAACAUAAAAUAAAAUAAAAUAAAGAUAAACGGGUCAUUCACUUAAUUAUUUAUCAUCAGAAUAAUAUAUAUAUAUAUAAUAUAUUAUAAGAAAAUAUUUAAAAAUAAAAAUAUAAGAAAAAUAUCUUCUUAUUAAUUUUUUAGUACUUCAAUUUUUUAUUUUAAUUUACAUUUAAAUGAUUUAUUCAAUUUAUAAUAAAUAUGUUGCCAAAGAAAUUAUUGUCUAUUAUGAAAAUAGUAGGAAGUAAGCUAUCAGCAGAGUUGCUAGAAUAAAGAAAGCAUGAAGUAGCCUGAGAGACCUUAUUGCCAGUAUUGUUGCUAAGAAACCAGCUGCGUCAAAGCUGGCUCCAACUGCUACAAAAUAAACCCCAACAAAAUCUUCUGUCAUAACUCCUAGGGUCUCCAACAAAUGUAAAAAGGCAAAACCCUAUGGAGAUGUUAUGACACAAUUGAACAAGUCCAACUCAGCCUAAAGCUACUGAACCUAUUGGAACUCCACCAAUCAAUCCAACUCAGAGCCAGAAAAAAAAAGCAGCCAGCUGCCAUAACACAAGGUUCACCUAAAGAACAUUUGUGAAGUGUAACUAAGAAGAAGUGAAACUUUUUCAACAACAGCUGCAGCAGAAUGUCCAACAACAGGGGAGUAUUCCUUGCCAACCCAAUUUAAUUUUCUAACCUUUGAAACUUUUCUUUUCUUUUAAGUUAUUUAUUUUUAGAUUUUUCGGUUUUUAUUUCUUUUUUGUUAGUGUAUGCAUGUUUGUCUUGGUUUAUUUUGUGUGCCUGUGACGACACAACACUUUUCAAGUUUGGGGGGGUUAUGCUAUGGUGUAAUGUGUCCGUGAGUGCAUGCAUUGGUAUUGUGUGUUAUGUGUAGCUCCGUUAUUCAGUAUUUGUGUAUGGAUUAGAAAACCUAAUGAAGAUAAAUUGAGUGUCAUCCAGUAUUUGUGACUGCCAAGUAGGGCUAGGUCAUAGAUGAAGGUUGAAAUUCAGUCUCAACACUUAGGCUUUAGUUGAGUUUUAUGAGUGUGUUGUAGAAAAACCAGAAAGACAAAAAAUGAUAGAAAUAUCUCAAGUUUGGGGAGAAAAUUUAAAGGGAUUUAUCAUAAAUUGUGCUAGUUAUGAAAUAAAUUUUGCUCUAAUGGCUUAAGUUACUGAGUAACCAGGGCUGAGUAUGCACCCCAUAUGCAGACUUAAGUAAAACAGCAACAAGAGUUACGAGUAAUGUUGUAGCAAUAAAAAAAAAAAGGUCCUCUAUCUAGGAUAUUGAAUAGCCAGGUCUGUUAAUGAGCUCAUGUUCAACCUUGAGUUAAAUGUGUCUAUAGAUAAGACAAUGUUAUAACAUUUUACAUGUCAUUGCUGCAGCAACUCUAAUCUGUGCAUUGGUUGAGUAAUUGUGUGUCAUCAUUACAAGUGAUAGACAUUCACAUGAAAAAUCAAUGAUGCAUUGAAGAGAAUUUGAUAAAAAAAAAUGUUGUAGCACAGUUUGAGCCUAUUUGUGACUUCUGCCCCCCAUACGUGAAUGUACUUAUGUUUUAUCUUUGAGUUAUGUAUAAUGUCUGUGUAAUGCUACAGCACCAUUGGAACUUAAAUACAGUGCCACACACAUACUUUGUAUAGAAUAUGGGCUAAGUCUAGAACUAAACUGUUAUGGCAAUUUUGUCUGGUCAAGAGUGUGAUCUGAGGGUUGAUGAAUCCUAACAAACUUGUUAACAGAGCUAAGUUAUUUUGUUGCAAGAUUGUGUGAUUGAAGUGUUAAUGUUAUUGUCAUUACUUGAUGACAAGUAAUAAUUUAAGUUUGGGGAUGUGAUAACUCUAUGAAAUGAGAGUUAUCAUGAUACUUUUGGGCUUAAAUCAAGUUUUCAUAGAGUGAAUGAUGUGUUUUUAGUGUAUUUUAGUGACAUUUUGCAUAAACAUCCAUUUUAGUUUAUUUCUAAUAAAUUGAGUUUGUUUUAGAUUAUUUUGUUCUUUUGUUGUGUGCAUAAUUGUAGUUGACCAAGAAGCUCAAGUUUUAAGAAAUGAAUGAUGCUGCAAUAGAUUUGCAGAGAUAAUGAAAGAACUUAGCUACAAAAGAAUUAAAACAAGUUUGAAACAGUGAAGAUAUUGUAGUCAUUGCUGUAGUAAUCCUGGAGCAAUAACAAACUGAAUUUCGCACGUAACAACUAAAAGAUUGCGAUUUAAAGUUUUCAAAAAUAGAGGAAAGACACCACACACUUUCGGUUGUCCUAGUUCUGAGUUAUAAAAGUAAUAUUCAUGAAAAGAAAAAAAGGAGAGUCGUCACUAAAGGAAAAAUCACAUAGAAAAAAAAAAGAAAAUAAGAAGGAUUUGAGGGCUACAAAAGAGGAAUCACAGUGAACAAGAAUGGGAGAUCACAAUAUUAAGUAGACUUCAACUUUUAUCUUGUUUUCUAUUUGUUUAUGGGAAUAUAUUUGAUUACUGAAACAACUUUAUUUACUGUUCUAUCACAAAUCAUGAACUGAAUUUGAUUGUAGUUGAGUGAUAAAUGAUCUUAAUGAAUGUUUAACUGACAUAUGUGUGUUGCUCUGUGUUUGCUAUAGCAUUAUGUCUUAAUUGUGUUUAUUUCAAUUCCCUACUUCGGCUUACCACUCAUUUAGAGAUACUAGCUAAGAAAGAACUUCAAAAAGGUCUGACUUAGUGGAUCGAAUUAAGACAAUACUUAGUUUUAGAUCAAGUUUCUCAAGUUAAGUUAAUCUCAAUUUGAAAAGGGUCAUAUGUGAUCUAAAAUUAGUGAAAAACUAGACAUAGAAAUUUAUCUUGUAGGGUAAAUGGAACCAAGAACGUUUAAGGUUAUAUCUAACAUUAGCAUAACAAUUGGUCAUUGUUAGGUUGCAUUAGAUAUAAGAUAUCCAACAUGCGAUAGCUGAGGAUGUAUAAGGGAUUCUGCCCAGUGUUGUAGUAGAUAAUGUAGCAACAGUACUAAAAUUGAAAAAUAGUCAAAGCCAUUAAGUGAGUUUAUUCACUUAACUACUCAUUUUCCAUUAAUUACAUCCUUAUAUUUGAUGUGAGAAUUUUCUUUAUUGCAUUUUAUUUAUUGAAUUUUUAUUUUAAUCAGUUUGUUAAUUUCAUUAAUUGUCUUAUUUUAAUUUAGAACAAAACUGCAUUGUUAAGAUUGUUAUAGCAAAUCUAAUAACAUCAAUCCCUAUGGAGAUGAUCUAAAUAUUCAUCAAUAUAUUACUUAUUAUGUACACUUGCACAUUGACACCUAUAGUAAUAGAAAUCACACACCAAUAACACGUUGCUCUGUGUUUGUGUGACAAGCAACAUAACUAGGAAACUGUCUUACCUAAGGUCAAGUUUACUUACAACAGCAUGGUGAAUCAACCUACUAGCAAGACUCCUUUUGAGAUUAUCUACAUUUGUUCCACACGCGAUGUUUAUGACUUGACUAUCAUGCUAACAAUAGUUGAAAGGAGUAAAGUAGCAAAUAAUGUGACAGAAAAGGCUCUACAGAUUCGUGCCGAGGUUUGAGCUUAUUUAGAGGCUGCCAAUGCUAAGUACAAGGCUGAUGCGGACAAGCAUCGAUGCAAGAAAGUAUUCCAAGAAGGUGAUUUAGUGAUUGCGCAUCUGCAUCGAAGUCGUUUCCCUAGUACUCGUACAAAAUUGGAGAAGCUCAAGUAUGGACCAUUUCGUGUGGCAAGGAAGAUUAAUGAUAAUGCUUAUGUGCUCUAGCUACCAAAAAACUAGAAUAUCUCUCUCACAUUUAAUGUGGUUGAUCUAUUUGAAUAUCAUCCAGAUGAUGAGGCAUUCUACAAGCCAAACUCGAGGACGAGUUCUUUUCCAAGUAAGGGGGAUUGAUGUAGGAUGGUUGCAUGGGAUUAGUAGGAUAUCUUCCGGAGGGCAUAACUUGGGCUAUAUAUGUAUGUUUUUGGUGUAUAAUAUGUCUUUCGAAGCUUGCAAUGAGAGGAUAAAAAAUAGAACUACUUCCAUUAUUCUGCCCUGUGAAUGAGCUGAAAAUUUCAUUUCUUUCCUGAUCAUUUUUUCAGUUUUAAGAUUUUUCCUAUUUCUUUAAGGAUCUUUAUCUUUCUUUUCUAGAUGCCGGAUUUGGUGCCGUUUAUUUUGGAUUUCUUAUUUAAAUUAGAAUAAUUUUAUUAUAAAAUAACAUUUCGAAUUUGUUUAUUUUGAUAAAUUCACGAUAUUUAGGAUUUUUAUAUAAAGAGGGCCAAAACUAUAGUUUUGUUAAUUCAGAUUUAUUCAAUAAAAUUCAUUACUCGGAAAACUUUGUUUCUUUUAUCAAUCAACUUGAAACUAUUUUAUUUUUUCUUACUAGUUCUUUCUUCUUUAAUUAAACCUCAUACAACAUAUCUAGUCAUUAUUCAUAUGAAGUAUGCAUCAAAUAAAAUCUCUUACAACACAUAAAUUUAAGAACCAUUUAUUUGGACACACGUGUGUGGUGAACCAAUUUUGUCUUUGCAGCAUCAUUUACUCAAGGGCAACCAACAGCACCACCAUGCCAAAAAUGAAUGCACGGCGCGGGCUUUACUGGACCAGGUUGCGCCUUCAGUGCUUCUGUGACUGCCUCCGCUGGACGUAUAUGUGAAGCAACAUGUCAUAUCUUUUUUUUAAUUAACCUCAAUGCAAUGACAAAAUUCUACUAAAGGAAAAAAUAAAACAUAAGAUGCUAUGGGUAAUGAAAUAUAUAUAUAUAUAUCCCUAGUUUAGGGGAAAAAAAUAAAAAAACAAUCAUAUUAGUUCGAGAACUUUAUGUUCAUGUAUACUCUUGUCUUCUUCCGACUUUAAUUUCUAGGGUAAUAAGUUUUCCUAUGAUUACCAUACAAUGAUGUAUAUAUAUAAUAGGCGAUAUUGUUGACAUUAUGAUGAAUAAUGAUGUCAAGUGGCAUAUAAUUUUACAAUAAAUGAAUCUCUUACUUUAAUAAUUUAACAGGCAAAAUAAAAAAAUUAAUAUAUUACAGGAUAAAAUACAUUAUAUUGAAUAAUAAUUAAUGAACUAAAAGAUUAAAAAAAUAAAUAUACUAUCCAAAAAUUUCAUUAUUUUUUAAAUUAAUUCACUUCUUCAAUAUUAUUCACGAUAAAUAUUACGUAGUACGACAUUUUUGUAAGCCAUCGGUCACCACCAUAUAACGACCAACACAGCUUAUAAAUUGGCUUUGCUAGAAGAAAUUAAUCUGAUUGUUAUGUUAUAUAUAAGAUGACCCAAAUUAAUGCAUAAACCAAGACGCUCACCUUUUCGUGUUGCAGUGGAAGCCUCAGCCAUGUUUCUAGCAGCUGCCACCUUCGUAGAAGUAAGAAGAACAACAAUAGUGAUUACAAGACUUUAAAGAAGGAAAAUCUUAGAGCCCAAUCCCAUUUUCGGUAUGCCAAAAAUAAAGUAAGAGGAAAUUAAUAUCAAUAAACGAGUAUUAAUUGAAGAUGGAAAGGAUGAAUGGAUGAUAAAUUAGUGUUCUCUUGAAUGUAUAUUAUUUAUAGUAGUUGGGAUUUGGGAGUUAGCGGUCCGAGGAAGGCACUGAGAAGUUAAUGCUCGUCUGAGACUAAGAAUUUUCUACAAGCAGCAAGCACAUUUUUAUUUCUUUGCGGGGUCCUUCAUUGCUCUGCAAAUAAUUUCUUUUUUUUAAUUAAUAUUUACCACUUAUCUCCUUUUUUAUAAUAUAAAAAAACUCAAUGAACAUUAAAAAAUUUAAAGAAAAAUAAAGGUAAAUGGGUCAUUCACUUAACAAUUUAUCACCGAAAUAUAAAAUAAAUAUUUAUUAUAAGAAAAUAUUUUAAAAAAAAAAAUAUCUUAUUAUUAAUUUUUUAUUCACGCCAAAAUAUAUAUUUCUUAUUUUUAGUACUUAAAUUUUUUAUUUUAAUUUACAUUGAUAUGAUUUAUUCUAUUUAUAAUAAAUAUGUUGCCAAAGAAAUUAUUGACUAUUAUGAACAUAGUAGGAAGUAAGUGAUAUAUAUUGAUUUCAGUAGGGAGAAUCUUACAAUCUCUCUUUUAUUAAUUAUUCUACAAUUGCCGUGAAAAUAUGUUUCUCCAUAUUUUCUUGAUUUUUGGUAUAAACUCUCUACUAGUUAUUCUACCAUAUUAAAUUUAAUACAACCAGCUCUCUUCCUUGGAUAAUAAAUUAAUCUAUUUCUCCAAAAAAAGAAGAAGAGGAAAUUAGUAUUCACUGAAGAAGGAAAAAAAGAUAAAUUUGUAUUCUUUUGUAUCUAUUAUUAAUAUUCAUAGAAUUCGGGCAGCCAAUGGUCCAUGCAGCCCGUUUACAUUUUUUUACGGGGCCCUCCAAUGCCUCUUGCACUAGCUAAGAAUUUUCUUUGUUCACUGAAACCAAGUUGAAUUUUUUUUAAUUUUAUAAAAUAUAUAUUAGAUUAUAAUUAUAUUUAAGGACAAAUACAAAUAGAAUUAACUCCAUUUAUAUUUUUUUCUCCCUUUAAUUUAUUUUACUUGUAUAAUAUAAUUGUUUUAUUAUCAUUCAAACAAUUUGAAUUUAAAAAGUCAUCUUUUAUCCAAAACAAAAUUAUUGUAACAAAAAUUAGAACUAAAUUAAGAUACAACACAAACAAAAAAUAAAUUAAAUAAAAUCUUAUCCAACUAUACACAAUUUUAAUUAUUUCGAUAGAUGAAAUUUCAGAUUCAAUAUCAGUAUUGCUAUUUGUUCACAGUUCACACGAAAGGAUGGACAAUUAUAGUUAUUGUAUUUUUUUCUUUAUAUGACUUUGGAUUCCUUGUAUGGCGACAAGUAAGUGAUGACUAUUGCAGCAAACUUGCCUUUGUUUUACGUUCUAAUUUCCAUACUUGAUUGGAAAUUCUAUUAUUUCAAUAGAUAAUUGAUGGGUAAUGGUCCAUCUCCCAACAGCAAUUGAUGGGCGAUGAGGCCAUCUCCUAAUUUUUGUUUGAUUUUAGUUAAAAGAAAACGUUAAUUUUAGUUAUUUUGAUAGAUAAAAUUUUGGGUUCAAUAUCAGUAUUGUUAUUUGUUCACACGAAAUGAUGGACAUCUGUAUUUAUUGUAUUUUUUUUCUUCAUAUGACUUUUGAUUCCAAAGAAGACCGGAAGUCAUCCUUAUAUAAUGACAAGUAAGCGAUAACUAUUGUGGCAAACAUGUCUGUGUUUUACAUUUUAAUUUCCAUACUUGACUGGAAAUUUUGCUAUUUUGAUAGAUAAUUCAUGGGUAAUGGCCCAUCUCUCAAUAGCAAUUGAUGGGCGAUGAGGCCACCUCCCAAAUUUAGUUUGACUUUAAUUAAAAGAAAACAUUAAUUUUAGUUAUUUCGAUCGAUAAAAUUUCAGGUUCAAUAUCAGUAUUGCUAUUUGUUCACAUGAAAAGAUGGACAAUUGUAUUUAUUGUAUUUUUUUUCUCUAUAUGACUUUGGAUUCCUUGCAUGGCGACAAGUAAGCGGUGACUAUUACGGCAAACAUGUCUUUGUUUUACAUUUUAAUUUCCAUACUUGACCAAAAAUUCUUUUAUUUUAAUUGAUGGGUAAUGGCCCAUCUCCCAACAGCAAUUGAUGGGCGAUGAGGCCACCUCCCAAAUUUAGUUUGACUUUAAUUAAAAGAAAACAAUAAUUUUAGUUAUUUCGAUAGAUAAAAUUUCAAGUUCAAUAUAAGUAUUAUUAUUUGUUCACAUGAAAGGAUGGACAAUUGUAUUUAUUGUAUUUUUUUCUUAUUAUGACUUUUGAUUCGAAACAAGACUAGAAGUCAUCCUUGUAUGGCGACAAGUAAGCAAUGACUAUUGCUUAAAACAUGUCUUUGUUUUACAUUUUAAUUUUCAUAUUUAAGUAGGUGUGAAAAGCUUCACUCUUUCUAUUUGUCUAUGUAGCCCCCCCUUUUUUCCUCUUAACGGGACUAUGAAAUACUCUUGUCAAUUGUCACUAACUAAGGAUUGUCAUCAUUCAUUUUUAAAGUAAAUGUUAAACCAAAGCCGUUGAUUUUUUUUUAAAAUAAAAGGAUAUUAGCACUAACUAAGAAUUGUGAUUACUAAUUUUUCUUUUUAAAAUAUGUAGAUAUUUUCAUUUUUUUAAAUUAUACUAUUAUCCAUUAUUAAGUGGGAAAAAGUAAUUUUCAAGAAACUUUGAUGUUAAAAUGUAACUUUCUACUAUUUUUAAGGUUGAAAUUCAAGUGGGCAGUGGCUAACUUAAAAAAUUGAAAGCAUCGCUCGACCACAAUUGUAGAGGAUGAAGGCAGGGUUUUAUUGAAAACUAUUUGGUACAAAAAUUGUCACGUAAAAUGUAUUUUCAAUUUUUGUAGUACAUGACUUAUUAGUAUUUAAUAACCAUAACAUGGCCUUCAACAGCCGGCUGUAUAGGCCUUACAUAAUAUAUUUUCCAAUCUAUUUCAUUAAAGUGUGGGUAACAGGUGAAUGAGAAAUUAUGAAAUAUUAGGAGGGUAAGUGAUAAAAAAGAGCCUAAGUAGGGGAUAUUUUUUAAGAAUAUAAAAUUGAGAAAAUUAAAUACAAUUACUAAAAUAUAUGGUAUAAAAUAAAAAGAGUGAACUUAAUCCUAGCUCUUAGAUGGCAUGUAUCUUAAUUUUCUCCCAAUUUUCGGAAAACUAAAGUUUGGAGAGAAUUCGCAUCAUAUCCUUGUGUAUUAUACAGUUGAAUUCAAGAUAGUCGUAUGUAGUACGAGGACUUUUUUCCCCCUAAUAUUAUAUCUCCAGAGACUAUUUCCCGUGAAAGCAAAUCUAGUUUAGAGGUCAAUUGACUUAGUAUUCUAUAUAUUUGCUCUUAGUGUGCUUCUCUUCUCCAUCACCGUUUGGCUUCUGUAAUUCAUCUUCUGUUUUCAUCUUUGUUUUCUAUUGCUACACAACAACAUAAUCAAUGGAUUCACCAACCUUGAAAAAUAAUAAAGUAAUUAUAUCACUCGUUUUCCCCCUCAUCUUGUUUGUUGUUUUAGAUUUUUCACUUGCUAUUUCUUCUAAUUCUGCAGAAGAAGCCCAUGCUCUUGUGAAAUGGAAAGCCAGCCUUGAAGUCCAUAGCCGUUCUCUCUUACAUUCCUGGUCUCUUUCUUCUGUAAAUGCCACCAAAAUAAGCCCCUGUGCUUGGUCAGGAAUUUUUUGCAACCAUGCCGAAAGAGUCGUCGGAAUUAACCUGACAAGCAUAAGUCUAAAUGGUACUCUUCUUGAAUUCUCAUUCUCAUCAUUUCCUCAUCUUGUGUAUCUUGAUUUAUAUAAUAACGAGCUCUUUGGUAUCAUCCCUCCUCAAAUCAGCAACCUUUCCAACCUGGAGUACCUUGAUUUUUCAGCUAAUAAGUUGUUUGGUCAGAUACCAUCAGGAAUUGGCCUUCUGACCCAUCUGACGGUCCUUCACAUUUCGAGAAAUUGGUUGAGUGGCUCAAUUCCACAUGAAGUGGGCCAGUUAACUGUUCUUAAUCAGCUUGCUUUAGAUUCUAAUUUUUUGAAUGGUUCAAUCCCUCGUUCUCUUGGCAAUUUGACCCAUGUGGUCAUUUUGUAUCUUUAUAAUAAUUCGUUUUUUGGUUCCAUUCCUCAAGAAAUAGGAAACUUAAAGUCACUUUUUGAUCUAGAGUUAUGCAUAAAUCAACUUAGCGGUGCUAUACCUCUUUCAAUUCGUAAUUUGACCAAUUUGAGAUUCUUAUUCCUUUAUCAUAAUGAGCUUUCUGGUAUCAUUCCUCAAGAAAUUGGAAAUCUCAAGAAGUUAAAUUCUUUACUGCUAGCUAAAAAUCAUUUUCGAGGUCCAGUUCCCAAAAGCUUCAGAAAUUUGACCGACCUAGUCAGACUACGUCUUAACCAAAACUAUUUAACCGGAAAUAUUUCUGAAACUUUUGGUACUUAUCCAAACCUCACUUUCAUUGAUCUCAGCAAUAAUAAUUUUUUUGGUGAAAUCUUAUCAGACUGGGGAAGAUGCCCACAAUUAAGUCUUUUAGAUGUUUCAAUAAAUAAUAUUAGUGGAAGCAUACCGCUUGAGAUUGGAGAAUCACUUCAGUUACAAUAUCUUGAUCUUUCUUCAAAUUAUAUUGUUGGUGAGAUUCCAACACAACUUGGAAAUAUAAUUUAUCUCAAUAGGCUUAGUUUGAGUGGGAAUAAACUCUCUGGAUGUAUACCUAGAGAGCUUGGGUCACUCAUUAAUCUCGAGUACCUUGACUUGUCUGCAAAUAAUCUAAGCAACUUUGUGCCAGAAAGUCUUGGCAGCUUGGUUAAAUUGUAUUAUUUGAAUUUGAGCCACAAUAAAUUGAGUCAACAAAUUCCAAUUGAAUUAGAUAAUUUGAUUCACCUUUCAGAGUUAGAUUUGAGUCAUAACUUUUUGGGAGAAAAGAUAUCAUCUCGAAUCUGCAGAAUGGAAAGCUUGGAGAAGCUCAAUCUGUCCUACAACAACCUAUCAGGUCUCAUUCCAAGAUGCUUCGAGGAGAUGCAUGGCCUAUUACACAUUGACAUAUCCUAUAACAAGUUAGAGGGACAGAUUCCUAAUAGCACAACAUUCAGAGAUGCUCCGUUGGAGGCAUUACAAGGAAACAAAGGAUUGUGCGGAGAUAUCAGAGGAUUUCCAUCAUGCAUGUCAUACAAAAAAGCUUCCCGGAAGAUUUGGAUUGUUAUUGUGUUCCCUCUUUUAGGUAUGGUUGCCCUUUUUAUUGCUUUGACCGGAUUUUUCUUCAUUUUCCAUCAAAGGAAAAAUGAUUCACAAACACAACAGAGUAGCUUUGGAAAUACUCCAGGGUUGCGUUCAGUGUUAACCUUUGAAGGGAAAAUCGUUUACGAAGAAAUCAUCAGUGCGACAAAUGAUUUUAAUGCUGAGCAUUGCAUUGGAAAAGGUGGACAUGGAAGUGUUUACAGAGCUAAGGUGCCAUCUGGAGAAAUCUUUGCAGUUAAGAAAUUUCAUUCCCCACUUCCAGGUGAGAUGUCAUUUCAGCAAGAAGAAUUCCUUAAUGAAAUUCAAGCAUUGACAGAGAUACGACAUCGAAAUAUUGUGAAAUUUUAUGGCUUCUGUUCACAUCCCAAACACUCAUUUAUAAUUUAUGAGUAUCUGGAAAGCGGUAGCUUGGACAAGAUCCUCUGCAAUGAUGCAUCGGCAAAAGAAUUGGGUUGGACUCAGAGAUUGAAUGUGAUAAAAGGUGUAGCUGAUGCAUUAUUUUACUUGCACAAUAAUUGCUUCCCGCCAAUUGUUCAUCGAGACAUAUCGAGCAAGAACGUGCUGUUGGAUUUGGGGUAUGAAGCCCAUGUUUCGGAUUUUGGAAUUGCCAAGUUUCUCAAUCCGGACUCCUCUAACUGGUCUGAACUUGCCGGUACACACGGAUAUGUUGCACCAGGUAUCACAACUUUGAAUUAAUAAUUCUCUACUAACUCUUAUAUCUUCACAUCAUCACGAUCUUUAUUUAUUUAUUUUUUCUUAUGUUACACUGAGCAAAAAAAUUGGUGUGACAUAGAUGAUCUAAUUUCAUCUUUCAACAGAGCUAGCCUACACAUUGAAGGUUACUGAAAAAUGCGAUGUGUACAGUUUUGGAGUGUUAGCAUUAGAAGUUAUCAAAGGGAAGCAUCCAAGGGAUUUCCUUUUUGAAAUGUCAUCUUCAUCUUCCAAUAUGAACAUAGAAAUGUUGGACUCUCGGCUUCCAUAUCCAUCACUCCAUGUCCAGAAAAAAUUGAUGUCAAUCAUGCAGGUUGCCUUUUCAUGCUUAGAUCAGAAUCCAGAGUCUAGACCAACGAUGAAGAGAGUUAGCCAAUUAUUAUGUGAAAAAAUUUUCGAAGUCUAGUCCAUUAACGGUCUUUUAUAAUCUUGUCUGUACUUUUCUGAUAAAUUAUUCACGUUGCGACUCUUUGUAGCAAGGGCAUUCGUGUUUUUAAUACCAUUGUAGUGUGAAGUUCAAUCUAAUUAGUUUCACUAUAACUCUGAUCACAACGUGGGUUAAUGGUUGAAUCAUAAAAUAAUCAAUUUUUUAACAGGAAUCACAUUCCCAUUUACCCUAAUUGAAACCAGGGAUAGACACAAAACUAUAAUUCUGCGAAGGCCACAAAACUCAUAGGAGUAAAAUUUCGAAGCCAAAGUAAAAACUGUCAAAAUUGUAGAGGCGAAAUCUCUAUCUUGUCCCUAUCUUGUUGGUUCAAAAUUUUAACUUCAGCUAACGAAUUUUAAUUAACUUUGUUUUUGGCCCCUACUGGUGAAGCCCUACUUUUACUUGAUAGCAAAAUGCAGAGGUCAAUUUGCCCAUUAAUAUUGGUCGCGAAACUAAUUAAGCUCUUUUGAAAAAUAUAAAGAGAGAGAAGAAUCUUUGUGGAAAAACUUUGGACAAUCACUUAAUUGUUCAUUUGAAAAAUCCAAUCAUUUUAACAUUUUCUGAAUUACCAAUUGAAGACGCAAUCUCUUUUUUGGUUUUGCAGACUUGAGCUUUAAAGCUUUAAAGGUUUGUUUAUUUUCUUGUUUUUGAUUUUCUUAAUUAAUUUCCGCCACUCAUUAUUUUAGUUUAAGGACUUGAGGUAAUUAAUGAUACGAGAAAAUCCCUCAGUAGCCUGUCAUGGUGAAUCAUGUUUUUAAUUGUUGAAUUUAAUUCUAUUGAGACUUUUUUUUUAUUAUUCCUUUUCUCUUUUACUUAAUUUUUUUAUAGGGUCUUGGUCUUUGAGGCGGUGAUUGUGUCUUGGCCGAAAUGGAAAAAAAAAUCAACCUCAAUGCAACGAGAAAAUUCUACUAAAGGAAAAAAUAAAACAUAAGAUGCUAUGGGUAAUGAUAUAUAUAUAUAUAUAUCCCUAGUUUAGGGGAAAAAAAUAAAAAAAACAAUCAUAUUAGUUCGAGAACUUUAUGUUCAUGUAUACUCUUGUCUUCUUCCGACUUUAAUUUCUAGGGUAAUAAGUUUUCCUAUAAUUACCAUACAAUGAUAUAUAUAUAUAUAAUAGGCGAUAUUGUUGACAUUAUGAUGAAUAAUGAUGUCAAGUGGCAUAUAAUUUUACAAUAAAUGAAUCUCUUACUUUAAUAAUUUAACAGGCAAAAUAAAAAAAUUAAUAUAUUACAGGAUAAAAUACAUUAUAUUGAAUAAUAAUUAAUGAACUAAAAGAUUAAAAAAAUAAAUAUACUAUCCAAAAAUUUCAUUUUUUUUUAAAUUAAUUCACUUCUUCAAUAUUAUUCACGAUAAAUAUUACGUAGUACGACAUUUUUGUAAGCCAUCGGUCACCACCAUAUAACGACCAACACAGCUUAUAAAUUGGCUUUGCUAGAAGAAAUUAAUCUGAUUGUUAUGUUAUAUAUAAGAUGACCCAAAUUAAUGCAGAAACCAAGACGCUCACCUUUUCGUGUUGCAGUGGAAGCCUCAGCCAUGUUUCUAGCAGCUGCCACCUUCGUAGAAGUAAGAAGAACAACAAUAGUCAUUACAAGACCUAAAAGAAGGAAAAUCUUAGAGCCCAAUCCCAUUUUCGUUAUGCCAAAAAUAAAGGAAGUAAGAGGAAAUUAAUAUCAAUAAACGAGCAUUAAUUGAAGAUGGAAAGGAUGAAUGGAUGAUAAAUUAGUGUUCUCUUGAACGUAUAUUAUUUAUAGUAGUUGGGAUUGGGGAGCCAACGGUCCGAGGAAGGCACUGAGACGUUAAUGCUCGUCUGAGACUAAGAAUUUUCUACAAGCAGCAAGCACAUUUUUAUUUCUUUGCGGGGUCCUUCAUUGCUCUGCAAAUAAUUUCUCUUUUAUUAAAAUUAAUAUUUAACACUUCUCUCCUUAUUUUUUGUCAUAAUAUAAAAAAACUCAAUGAGCAUAAAAAUAUUUAAAGAAAAAUAAAGGUAAAUGGGUUAUUCAUAUAAGAGUGAUGAUAUAGCCACAAACUCUUGUAUAAACUAAUUUUAUACAAACUGAUGUGGUUUUCUGCUGUACCGUACAUCCGCCUUGGCCGUACAGCAGUUAAUUUUUUAUUCACGCCAAAAUAUAUAUUUUUAUUUUUAGUGCUGCAAUUUUUUAUUUUAAUUUUCAUUUAUAUGAUUUAUUUUAAUUUACAUUCAUAUGAUUUAUUCAAUUUAUAAUAAAUGUGAAUAAAGCAACACCAGUAAUACUAUUAAAUUAUGUUGCCAAGGGAAUUAUUGACUAUUAUGAAAAUAGCAAAAAGUAAGUGAUCUAUAUUGAUUUCAGUAGGGAGAAUAUGACAAUCUCUCUUUUAUUAAUUAUUCUACAACUGCCUUGAAAAUAUGUCUCUCCAUAUUUUCUUUAUUUUUUGCAGUAAACUCUCUGCUAGUUAUUCUAUCAUAUUAAAUCUAAUACAACCAGCUCUCUUCCUUGGAUAAUAAGUUAAUUUAUUUCUCCCAAAAAAAAAGGAAAUUGAUAUUCAUUGAAGAAGGAAAAAAUGAUAAAUUUGUAUUCUUUUGCAUCUAUUAUUAAUAUUCAUAGAAUUCGGGCGGUCGGUGUAGCCCAUUCAUAUUUUUUUGCGGGGCCCUCUGAUGCCUCUUGCACUAGCUAAGAAUUUUCUUUGUUCACUGAAACCAAGUUGAAUUUUUUUUAAUUUUAUAAAAUAUAUACUGCUGUACCGUACAUCCGCCUUGGCCGUANNNNNNNNNNNNNNNNNNNNNNNNNNNNNNNNNNNNNNNNNNNNNNNNNNNNNNNNNNNNNNNNNNNNNNNNNNNNNNNNNNNNNNNNNNNNNNNNNNNNNNNNNNNNNNNNNNNNNNNNNNNNNNNNNNNNNNNNNNNNNNNNNNNNNNNNNNNNNNNNNNNNNNNNNNNNNNNNNNNNNNNNNNNNNNNNNNNNNNNNNNNNNNNNNNNNNNNNNNNNNNNNNNNNNNNNNNNNNNNNNNNNNNNNNNNNNNNNNNNNNNNNNNNNNNNNNNNNNNNNNNNNNNNNNNNNNNNNNNNNNNNNNNNNNNNNNNNNNNNNNNNNNNNNNNNNNNNNNNNNNNNNNNNNNNNNNNNNNNNNNNNNNNNNNNNNNNNNNNNNNNNNNNNNNNNNNNNNNNNNNNNNNNNNNNNNNNNNNNNNNNNNNNNNNNNNNNNNNNNNNNNNNNNNNNNNNNNNNNNNNNNNNNNNNNNNNNNNNNNNNNNNNNNNNNNNNNNNNNNNNNNNNNNNNNNNNNNNNNNNNNNNNNNNNNNNNNNNNNNNNNNNNNNNNNNNNNNNNNNUUUUUUUUUUUUUUAAUAAACGGAUAUUAUCGCUAACUAUGAAUUGUGAUGAUUGAUUUUUUAAAAAAUAUAUAGAUUUUAUCACUUUGCUACCUAAUAUUUUUUGGCAUAUCACUUUACUAUCAAAAUUUUUGGAUAAUUACUUUUUCCUACUUAAUAAUUGAUAACACUAUUAUUUUUUUGGUAUAUAAUUAAUUUUGUAUUUCUUUAAUUUAGAAGGUUAAAUUAUACUUACAUAGUUUACGCUUUAAUAGUUUGAUGGUAAAUUGUAAAAAUAUAUAAAAAAAUAAUAAUUAUCAAAAAAUUUAGGUGCUAAAAUAAUAUGUCAGAAAAAAAUACCUUUAAUAUUAAAUAGAAUAUAAUUUUUUUUAAAAAAAGAAAUUUUAUGAAGAUUUUGGAAGAGUGUCAAUAGUUUGACUCAUUAAAAAAUGAUAUGUAGCCCGAAAUUUAUUAUUUGUAUGGAUAGUUGAUGGGUGGAGGCCCAUCUCCCAAAGAUGUUUACCAGGCGACGAGCCAUCUCCCAAUUUUCGUCUGAUUUUAAUUAAAAAAUAUUAAAUUUAUUUAUUUCGGUGAAUAAAAUUCAAAUUAAAUAUCAGCAUUGUUAUUUGUUUAUACAAGAGAAUGGACAAUCAUAUUUAUUAUUUUUUUAUAUGACUUUUGGUUGCAAAGAUGACGGGAAGUCAUCCUCGUGCCGCGACAAACAAGUGAUUACUAUUGCAAUGCAUGUGUCUUUGUCUUAAAUUAUAAUUUCCAUAUUUUAAAAUUAUAGGAUCAUUCUAUAAUGCCGUAAUUAAAUUUACAACAUUGAUGUCGUAAUGGACGUGGACCGUUAGAUUUGAAUAAAAAAUCACUAUCAUUAAUUCUAAAUAAAUAGGUAACAUGUUACCUAAGUAGGAGAUAAUUACUCUUUUUUGUUCAAAUUCCAUGUUACAUUUACCAAUUUUAUGUAUGAUUUACAAGUUUUAUGAAACUUUUACAAGUUAAUGUUGAUUAACAAGUUUUAUGCAACAUUUACAAGUUUUUGUUUUAUUUACAAGUUCUUCUUAUAAUUUACAACUCUAACAUUAAUUUAUCUAUUUUUUCAUUAAUUUAUUAGUUUUAUGUGUGGUUUACAAAUUUUUUAUUUUAUUUCACACUUAAUGUCAAUUUACAAGUUCUAUGUCAUUUUUCUAAAUUUUUGUUUUGUUUACAAGUUCUUCUUAUAAUUUACAAUUCCAACAUUAAUUUACUCAUUUUUCCAUCAAUUUACUAGUUUUAUGUGUGAUUUACACAUUUUUUAUUUCAUUUCACACUUAAUGUCAAUUUAAAAGUUCUAUAUCAUUUUUCUAAAUUUUUAUUUUGUUUACAAGUUCUUCUGGCCAAUUACAACUCCAUCAUUAAUUUACCCAUUUUUCCAUCAAUUUACUAGUAUUAUGUGUGAUUUACACAUUUUUUGUUUCAUUUCAAAAUUAAUGUCAAUUUUUUUUUUUUUUAAUAAACGGAUAUUAUCGCUAACUAUGAAUUGUGAUGAUUGAUUUUUUAAAAAAUAUAUAGAUUUUAUCACUUUGCUACCUAAUAUUUUUUGGCAUAUCACUUUACUAUCAAAAUUUUUGGAUAAUUACUUUUUCCUACUUAAUAAUUGAUAACACUAUUAUUUUUUUGGUAUAUAAUUAAUUUUGUAUUUCUUUAAUUUAGAAGGUUAAAUUAUACUUACAUAGUUUACGCUUUAAUAGUUUGAUGGUAAAUUGUAAAAAUAUAUAAAAAAAUAAUAAUUAUCAAAAAAUUUAGGUGCUAAAAUAAUAUGUCAGAAAAAAAUACCUUUAAUAUUAAAUAGAAUAUAAUUUUUUUUAAAAAAAGAAAUUUUAUGAAGAUUUUGGAAGAGUGUCAAUAGUUUGACUCAUUAAAAAAUGAUAUGUAGCCCGAAAUUUAUUAUUUGUAUGGAUAGUUGAUGGGUGGAGGCCCAUCUCCCAAAGAUGUUUACCAGGCGACGAGCCAUCUCCCAAUUUUCGUCUGAUUUUAAUUAAAAAAUAUUAAAUUUAUUUAUUUCGGUGAAUAAAAUUCAAAUUAAAUAUCAGCAUUGUUAUUUGUUUAUACAAGAGAAUGGACAAUCAUAUUUAUUAUUUUUUUAUAUGACUUUUGGUUGCAAAGAUGACGGGAAGUCAUCCUCGUGCCGCGACAAACAAGUGAUUACUAUUGCAAUGCAUGUGUCUUUGUCUUAAAUUAUAAUUUCCAUAUUUUAAAAUUAUAGGAUCAUUCUAUAAUGCCGUAAUUAAAUUUACAACAUUGAUGUCGUAAUGGACGUGGACCGUUAGAUUUGAAUAAAAAAUCACUAUCAUUAAUUCUAAAUAAAUAGGUAACAUGUUACCUAAGUAGGAGAUAAUUACUCUUUUUUGUUCAAAUUCCAUGUUACAUUUACCAAUUUUAUGUAUGAUUUACAAGUUUUAUGAAACUUUUACAAGUUAAUGUUGAUUAACAAGUUUUAUGCAACAUUUACAAGUUUUUGUUUUAUUUACAAGUUCUUCUUAUAAUUUACAACUCUAACAUUAAUUUAUCUAUUUUUUCAUUAAUUUAUUAGUUUUAUGUGUGGUUUACAAAUUUUUUAUUUUAUUUCACACUUAAUGUCAAUUUACAAGUUCUAUGUCAUUUUUCUAAAUUUUUGUUUUGUUUACAAGUUCUUCUUAUAAUUUACAAUUCCAACAUUAAUUUACUCAUUUUUCCAUCAAUUUACUAGUUUUAUGUGUGAUUUACACAUUUUUUAUUUCAUUUCACACUUAAUGUCAAUUUAAAAGUUCUAUAUCAUUUUUCUAAAUUUUUAUUUUGUUUACAAGUUCUUCUGGCCAAUUACAACUCCAUCAUUAAUUUACCCAUUUUUCCAUCAAUUUACUAGUAUUAUGUGUGAUUUACACAUUUUUUGUUUCAUUUCAAAAUUAAUGUCAAUUUACUAGUUGUAUGUCAUUUUUCUAAGUUUUUGUUUUGUUUACAACUUCGUCGUGCAAAUUAUAACUCCAACAUUAAUUUAUUAAUUUUAUGUGUGGUUUACAAAUUUAUUGUUUCAUUUCACACUUAAUAUCAAUUUACAAGGUCUAUAUCAUUUUUCUAAGUUUUUGUUUUGUUUACAAGUUUUUCUUACAAUUUACAACUCCAACAUUAAUUUACUAUUUUUUCCAUUAAUUUAUUAGUUUUAUAUGUGGUUUACAAAUUUAUUGUUUCAUUUCACACUUAAUGUUAAUUUACAAGUUCUAUGUCAUUUUUCUAAGUUUUUAUUUUGUUUACAAGUUCUUCUUAUAAUUUACAACUCUAAUAUUAAUUUACUAGUUUUAUGUGUGAUUUACAUAUUUUUUGUUUUAUUUCACACUUAAUGUCAAUUUACAAGUUCUAUGUUAUUUUUCUAAGUUUUUGUUUUGUUUACAAGUUCUUCGUACAAAUUACAACUCCAACAUUAAUUUACUCAUUUUUCCAUCAAUUUACUAGUUUUAUGUGUGAUUUACACAUUCUUUGUUUCAUUUCAUAAUUAAUGUCAAUUUACUAGUUCUAUGUCAUUGUUUCUAAGUUUUUGUUUUGUUUACAAGUUCUUCGUACAAAUUACAACUCCAACAUUAAUUUACUCAUUUUUCCAUCAAUUUACUAGUUUUAUGUGUGAUUUACACAUUCUUUGUUUCAUUUCAUAAUUAAUGUCAAUUUACUAGUUCUAUGUCAUUGUUUCUAAGUUUUUGUUUUGUUUACAAGUUCUUCGUACAAAUUACAACUCCAACAUUAAUUUACUCAUUUUUCCAUCAAUUUACUAGUUUUAUGUGUGAUUUACACAUUCUUUGUUUCAUUUCAUAAUUAAUGUCAAUUUACUAGUUCUAUGUCAUUGUUUCUAAGUUUUUGUUUUGUUUACAAGUUCUUCGUACAAAUUACAACUCCAACAUUAAUUUACUCAUUUUUCCAUCAAUUUACUAGUUUUAUGUGUGAUUUACACAUUCUUUGUUUCAUUUCAUAAUUAAUGUCAAUUUACUAGUUCUAUGUCAUUGUUUCUAAGUUUUUGUUUUGUUUACAAGUUCUUCGUACAAAUUACAACUCCAACAUUAAUUUACUCAUUUUUCCAUCAAUUUACUAGUUUUAUGUGUGAUUUACACAUUCUUUGUUUCAUUUCAUAAUUCAUUAAUUUAUUAGUUUUAUGUGUGGUUUACAAAUUUAUUGUUUCAUUUCACACUUGAUGUUAAUUUACAAGUUGUAUGUCAUUUUUCUAAGGUUUUGUUUUAUUUACAAGUUCUUCUUGUAAUUUACAACUCUAACAUUAAUUUACCCAUUUUUCCAUCAAUUUACUAGUUUGAUGGAAAAUGAAGCAGGUAUCUUACUAGUUUGAUGGAAAAUGAAGCAGGUAUCUCACUAACAUGCAUAUGUUUCAUCACACAAAAUAAGUGAGGGCAUGGUAUUCCAAUAGAUUCGAACUUCUUACAGGAGCACUCAAAAUGUUGUUCUUUUAGAUAAUAAACCACAGUCCACUUCUUUUUGGCUUCUAAAUGCCUAGUUAAUGUGUACCCUUGAUUAUAUAUGAGUGACAUUGCUCAACAAUAUAAACUGGCCUUCUUUGUAAAUUUGUUUACAAACCUUGUAAAAUUACUUUUGAGUGUAAACCCCUGCAGCAUGCUUCUCCAAGCUUGGAAGAUGAGUACUAAUCAUUGGAAUAGAAUGCUUAGUUUUAAAAUUAUGUCCUAAAUUGUUAUUCCUUGUACGUCUCAAGGCUCGAUCAAUUUGACGAACAAAUUCAUGCAACUUCAACUUUCUUUGAAGAAAUCUAUUCAUAUAUGCAUUCAUACCCUCACAACGUUGUGUUGUGCGCAUGCCACCAAAGAAAUGACCCCGUAAGAAUGCUUAUGCCCAUCUCUCUCGUUUUGAGUACAUCUUCUUAACCCAAUCAUUAUUUUGAAGACCAAGCUCUUUCACCAUGUUCUGCCAUAAUUGCUCAAAUUCUUCGGGUCUGUAAUUUCCCAACAGAAAAUCCUUAAACCUUCUAACAAAUUCAAGCGUUUUAUGUACAUUAGAUUGUGCAUUUCUUUGUAGAUGCCAAAUACACAGUCGAUGCUGAGCUUCAGGAACUACCUUUUUAAUUGCUUUGCGCAUCGCUCUAUCUCCAUCAAUCACAAUAGAUAUAGGCUUUCUAUUAUUCAUAGCACUUAAAAAUGUUUUAAGCACCCAUGUGUAGGUCUCAACCGUCUCAUCCGUGAGAAUUGCACAACAAAAAAAAACUUGUUGCAUAAUGAUUAUUAACAUCCAAUAGAAUAACUAAAGGCUUCCCAUACUCAUUUGUCUUGUAAGUACUAUCGAAAGCCAAAACAUUGCCGAAGUAACUAUAAUCCAAUCGAGCAAUAGAAUCUACCCAGAAUAAGUUUGCAAGUCUAUUCUCCUCAUCUACAGAGUACUUACAAAAGAAAUCUGGAUCUAUGUCGGCUUUUGCAUUUAAGUAUGCAAGUGCAACUUUUGAGUCUGUUUCAAGUAUCAUGGAUCGACUUUCAUUAUCUAAAUUGUUAUAUAAAUCCUUUAAUCCAAAGCCCAAUUUGUCAUAAUCUCCAGCCUGGUUGACAAAGAAGUCCAUAAUCUGACUUGUCUUUAUACCAACUGUUUGCAUUGAAUUAGCUAGAGCAUUGUCAGAAUCUUUAACCAUUCGAUGAGAUCGAAGAAAUUGAGUCUCAAAAUCUGCUGCCAACUCAUGAGAGUGUUUCGGAACAAAGCUUCUAGCAACCCAAAUUUUGGACUCCUUAUCUAAAUUUACCCUGAAUGCUGCUCGACAGUUGACUCUUGUAAUAACUCUAGGUUCACGGAUUCUGUUUGUAUGCUCAAUAUACUUUUUAUCCCUUUCACCUUCUCUACUGCAAACCCAAUGUUUCAUUAUGGGUGCAACAUUUGUAUCACGUCUCCCAUCAUAAAUGCGAACACUAAAACACAUUAUUUUUUAGUGUUUUUGAUAAAAAUUUGUAGCUUCUUCAAGUGAUGCAAAUCGCUUUCCAAUAACGUCUUCAGCAGUGAGUUCAUACAUGCUUUUAUCAUCCCAAUAAAUAGAGUUUGAACCAUCCCUCCCUGUCAUAAUAGAGUAUGAAUAAUUUUUUUUUAUCAUGAAUAGCUAACUUCAAUUGAUACUAUUGUUUUAUUAUUGACAGAUAAAAUAGUCUAAUUCUAUUAUUUUAUUACCACCAACUAAAAUAAACUGAUACUGUUAUUUGAUUUUCAAAAUAUUACAAAAAUAAUUUGGUUCAAUUGUUUUGUUAUGAACAACUAAAAAACUUGAUUGUAUUUCUGCUUGAGUUGUUGAAGGAAUAUCAUAUGAUGAUAGAACAUCAAGCUCUGGCACUUUGUAAUUUUUGUUAAUGCCUGUCAUUAUACAAUAAGAAAAUAUUACAAUAAGUGAAAUGGCACUUCUAGACAAUAGCCUGUAAAUUCUAAUAGACACAAUUAAUAUUAAUUUUAAAAGGUUAAACAACACUACUCUUUUUAGAAAGAGAGAAAAUAACAUAAAAAAUAAUAGCAAGAGUAACAAAUCAUUAAAAGACAAUGAAGAAUUAACCUUGUUGAUCAUCAUUCAUUGUGUUCUAUGUGGUCGUUAGAAAACACUGGGCAAGGAAAUUGUAGGAUUGAAUGGAACUAUUGAAUUAGGAAAAGACGUAUUCUGGACAAGUUGCAAAAGUUUUAAUAUGGCUAAUUUCAAACUAGUCCCCAUUAAGUCAAAAUAUUACAAAUGACCCAUUUAUUUUAAAAAUACUCAUUCAGCCCCAGAAGUAUAAAGUCAGCCUUAAUUAUGUUUUGCCUGUUGAGUAUUAUUGUAAGUGUGAAAUUAUUAACAAUGUCCCUAAAUAAAUCGAUUACUACUAUAGUUGUAAUUUCAGAAUUAUAAUUUUUUUCCCGUUUUGCCUCUAGUUUCUCUUAUAAUGUUCUGAAAAUUAUUUGUUGCAAAAUAAUGUGUCAUGUUCAUGUGCGUAGGAGUUAGAUUUGAGAUAAUGUUCUGAAAAUAACUUGGUUAAUGUUUGAAAUCUUGUUUAUAUUAGGUCUUAUUUUUCUAGCUAGGUUACUAUUAUGCUUGUAAUUUUAUUUUUCUAAAUAAUUAGAUUAUUAUCAUGCUAUCGCAGCAAGUUUGGACAAGCUUGUGUACUUGGUCAGGAAUUCAUUGCUUGCUUCUUGUUUUUCAAUUUUGGCAGUGAUGGUAGUAAAAGCUUUUGGAGUUUUGGACAAUGAUGAUGGCAGCUCACAGUGCACUCUCUCCCUCGUUUCCUAAUCUACUCAAAACGAAGGCGACUCACAGAACUCUCUUUCCCUCUUUUCCUGAUUUGCUCACAACAAAUCUCUCUCUCUCCUUAUCUGUGUCGAUCUACACGCAACAGCAAGCUCUCUGUCAUUUUCUCUGCAGAUCUGCUCUCUCUCGGUGUGAUCAAGGAUUGCAAGUUUAACAAUUGCUGGAAAACAAACAUCUUAUUACAAAUUAUCAUAAGCGUGAACUUAUACUAAAUUAUGAUCUAUUAGUAGUAGUGAACUAUUACAUAUUUCUUCCCCACAAUUGAGAUAUAUAUACACUAGAAAAUGGAGAGUAUGAACUUACAAUUCACUCAAAGACUUUGAGAAAGAUGUCUGUGUGGUCCAGCCGACAUGGUGACAGACUGUCAGGCAAGGGGGCAAUGUUUAUGUGGUCCAGCAAACCCAAACACUUUACACUGAACUUCUUAAUUCCGUGAACAAAUCCGGCGUACAGAGACUUGUUAAUUCUGGCGGAAUUGAAUCUAAGAAUUUCGUGAACAAAUUAUGACGAUGAUACUAUAUAAGUUAAUAUAAAAUUGAAUGAGAAAUCUGAAACUAAAUUACUUAGCAAAUUCAUGCAAAGAAAACAAAAUUGCUUAGCAAUUCGAACGAGAAAGAGGAAAAAGGUACAUUGCACAGGUGACGACCGCCAAAACCAAGACAGAGGCAGCGAUGGCAGAGACUCAGCAAUUCGAACAAGACAGAAAAUCAACUCAAUGAAUGGUCGCAAUCUGCAGACGUAUCGCCGGUGCACCUGAACUGAAGUUAACGCGGCAGUGGGUGUGACUAUAUCUUUUGCAAUUCGUUAAUUAGGGAUCAAGUUUUCCCUUUGUAUUUUUUUUUUUAAAGUAAAUCCUUUUUUCCUUUAAAUUUAUCAGUAGAAUUUUAUUUUAAAAAGUACUUAACCGGUUAUAAACCGGUUAAACAUAAUUUAAUUAAAUGUUUUUAUUAUUUUAUCAUUAUUGUGAAUCGUUGAUUUAAUCUAACGGUCCACGUCCAUUACGGCAUCAAUGUUGUAAAUUUAAUUACGGCAUUAUAGAAUUUUCCUAAAUUAUAAUACUAUAAUAAAUUUUAUUAAUUUAAUAUAUAAAUUAACUUGUCCUAAAGACAAGAUAGUCGCAUGUGGUACAAGGAUUGUUUUUACCCCCUUAUAUUAUAUCUCCAGAAACUAUUUCCCUUGAAAGCAACUCAAGUUUACAGGUCAAUUGACUUAGUAUUCUAUACAUUUGCUCUUAGCGUGCUUCUUUUCUCCAUCACCGUUUGGUUUCUGUAAUUUAUCUUCUAUUUUCAUCUUUGUUUUCUAUUGCUACCCAAAAACAUAAUCAAUGGAUUCACCAGCCUUGAAAAAUAAUAGAGUAAUUAUAUCACUCGUUUUUCCCCUCAUCUUGUUUCUUGUUUUAGACUUUUCACUUGCUGUUUCUUCUAAUUCUACAGAAGAAGCCCAUGCUCUUGUGAAAUGGAAAGCCAGCCUUGAAGUCCAUAGUCGUUCUCUCUUGCAUUCAUGGUCUCUUUCUUUUGUAAAUGCCACCAAAAUAAGCUUGUGUACUUGGUCAGGAAUUCAUUGCAACCAUGCCGGAAGAGUCUUCGGAAUUAAUCUGACAAGCAUAAGUCUAAAUGGUACUCUUCUUGAAUUCUCAUUCUCAUCAUUUCCUCAUCUUGCGUAUCUUGAUUUAUAUAAUAACGAGCUCUUCGAUAUCAUCCCUCCUCAAAUCAGCAACCUUUCCAAGCUAGAGUACCUUGAUUUUUCAACUAAUAAGUUGUUUGGUCAUAUACCAUCAGAAAUUAGCCUUUUGACUCAUCUGACGAUCCUUCACAUUUCUAGAAAUCAAUUGAAUGGUUCAAUUCCACAUGAGGUAGGCCAAUUGAAUUUUCUUAAUCACCUUAUUUUAGAUUCUAAUUUUUUGGGCGGUCCAAUCCCUCGUUCUCUUAGCAAUUUCACCAACUUCGUUUUUUUUAUCUUUAUAAUAAUUCAUUUUCUGGUUCCAUUCCUCAACAAAUAGGAAACUUAAAGUCACUUUUUGAUAUGAAGUUGUGCAUAAAUCAACUUAAUGGUGCUAUACCUCUUUCAAUUGGUAAUUUAACCAAUUUGAGAUUCUUAUUCCUUUAUCAUAAUGAGCUUUCUGGUAUCAUUCCUCAAGAAAUCGAAAAUCUCAAGAAGUUAAAUUCUUUACUGCUAACUAAAAACAAUUUUCGAGGUCAAGUUCUCAAAAGCUUCAGAAAUUUGACCGACCUAGUCAAACUACGUCUUAACCAAAACUAUUUAACAGGAAAUAUACCAAAACUUUUGAUACUUAUCCAAACCUCACUUUCAUUGAUCUCAGCAAUAACAAUUUUUUUGGUGAAAUCUUAUCAGACUGGGGAAGAUGCCCACAAUUAAGUCUUUUAGAUGUUUCAAUAAAUAAUAUUACUGGAAACAUACCGUUUGAGAUUGGAGAAUCACCUCAGUUACAAUAUCUUGAUCUUUCUUCAAAUUAUAUUGUUGGUGAGAUUCCAACACAACUUGGAAAUAUAAUUUAUCUCAACAGGAUUAGUUUGAGUGGGAAUAAACUCUCUGGACGUAUACCUGGAGAGCUUGGGUCACUCAUUAAUCUCGAGUACCUUGACUUGUCUGCAAAUCAUCUGAGCAACUUUGUGCUAGAAAGUCUUGGCAGCUUGGUUAAAUUGUAUUAUUUGAAUUUGAGCCACAAUAAAUUGAGUCAUUUUUUUAAAAACCGAAAACCGAACCGACUGGUUUUACUAUUUUCUCUAUAUUACUAAUUCGGUUUUUUGGGUGUAAAAAAACCGCAAAAAAACCGAACCUGCUGUACGGCCAAGGCGGAUGUACGGUACAGCAGAGGGACAGAUUCCUAAUAGCACAACAUUCAGAGAUGCUCCGUUGGAGGCAUUACAAGGAAACAAAGGAUUGUGCGGAGAUAUCAGAGGAUUUCUAUCAUGCAUGUCAUACAGAAAAGCUUCCCGGAAGAUUUGGAUUGUUAUUGUGUUCCCUCUUUUAGGUAUGGUUGUCCUUUUUAUUGCUUUGACCGGAUUUUUCUUCAUUUUCCGUCAAAGGAAAAAUGAUUCACAAACACAAUAGAGUGGCUUUGGAAAUACUCCAGGGAUGCUUUCAGUGUUAACCUUUUAAGGGAAAAUCGUUUACGAAGAAAUCAUCAGAGCGACUAAUGAUUUUGAUGCUAAGCAUUGCAUUGGAAAAGGUGGACAUGGAAGUGUUUACAUAGCUAGGGUGCCAUCUGGAGAAAUCUUUGCAGUUAAGAAAUUUCAUUCCCCACUUCUCGGUGAGAUGUUGAUAGGUCCCAGUCAAAGCUAUUGUAUUUUGUAUGUAAAUAGGAUUCUACUUAGGGCGAGAAUCAGCCACAAGAAUUUGUUAUUGAAUUCACUCUCUCUUAUUCUGCAUAAUACUUGAGUUUAAAUACACGAAGGACUAACAGACUCCUCCUAAAAAUAAUGUCACAACUACUGAAAAUUAGUAACUGAAUCCAGAUAAAGCCAGCACCUAUUAAAAUAACAAAAUACUUGCUAACAGAAUUUGAUUAAGCCUUAACUUGCACGUGACUAAGCUGACCACUCCACUAAAUCCACUAAAUCCUCAACGGCUCCAUGCAUUCUUGACUCAUUCCUUUUAGACAGUGAACUUGCAAUUCUUGAUGGGCACACGUUGAGACUUUCGUGGCUUAUCAGAUGUCGUUUCAGCAAGAAGAAUUCCUUAAUGAAAUUCAAGCAUUGACAGAGAUACGACAUCGAAACAUUGUGAAAUUUUAUGGCUUCUGUUCACAUCCCAGACAAUCAUUUAUAGUUUAUGAGUAUCUGGAAAGCGGUAGCUUGGACAAGAUCCUCAACAAUGAUGCAUCGGCAAAAGAAUUGGGUUGGACUCAGAGAUUAAAUGUGAUAAAAGGUGUAGCUGAUGCAUUAUUUUACUUGCACAAUAAUUGCUUCCCACCAAUUGUUCAUUGGGACAUAUCGAGCAAGAACGUGCUGCUGGAUUUGGGUUAUGAAGCCCAUGUUUCGGAUUUUAGAAUCGCCAAGUUUCUCAAUCUGGACUCCUCUAACUGGUCUAAACUUGCCGGUACACACGGAAAUGUCGCACCAGGUAAUUCUCUGCUAAUUAUUAAAUCUUCACGUCAUCAUGAUCUUUUUUUUUUUUCCUUAUGUUACACUGAGCGAAAAAAUUGGUGUGACAUAGAUGAUCUAAUUUUGUUUUUUCAAUUUGCAGAGCUAGCCUACACAAUGAAGGUUACUGAAAAAUGCGAUGUGUACAGUUUUGGAGUGUUAGCAUUAGAAGUGAUCAAAGGGAAGCAUCCAAGGGAUUUUCUUUUUGAAAUGUCAUCUUCAUCUUCCAAUAUGAACAUAGAAAUAUUGGACUCUCGGCUUUCAUAUCCGUCACUCGAUGUCCAAAACAAAUUUAUGUCAAUCAUGCAGGUUGCCUUUUCAUGCUUAGAUCAGAAUCCAGUGUCUAGACCAACGAUGAAGAGAGUUAGCCAAUUAUUAUGUGAAAUUUUUUUCGAAGUCUAGUCCAUUAACGGUUUUUUAUAAUCUUGUAUGUACUUUUCUGAUAAAUUAUUCACGUUGUGAGUCUUUGUAGCAAAGGUCUUCCUGUUUUUAAUACCAUUGUAGUUUGAAGUUCAAUCUAAGCAGUUUCACUAUAACCCUGAUCACAACGUCCGUUAACGCUUGAAUAAUUUAUAUAUAUAUGUAUGUAUAUUUUAAUGGUACAUUUAUUAUAAUUUUUAAAUUUACGUAGAAUUUUUUUUGUUAAUUUUUACAUAUAUAGAAUAUAAUAUUAUAAUUCUUCUAAGAAAAUUUUUUAUUUUUGAGAAAUUUAUUCUAGUAAAUUACAUAUUGCAAAUUAAAUUUAAUGUUAAAAAAUGAUUUUUCAUUGAGGGAUUAUUUUAAUGUAAAAUGGAAGCCAAUUAUUCUCAAAUUACUAUUAAAUUAAAAGAUUAACAAACUUGAUAUUCAGUUCUUGAUUAAUUAUGGAGAUCACUUAAAAAAGAACAAAAAGGAAAAGAUAAUGAAGCAAACAUCAGUAAGAAAAUAUAGGACAAAACAUAAGGUCAUAUCAACUUUAGACCCUGCUGUUUGCAAUGGCAUUUGGUAUCAUCAUGAUUCGAGAAACAAGUUUACUAUGUAAUGCCACCAAUAUUUGAAAACAAACGAAAAAAGAAAAUGCUAAUGAUACAAAAUAAAAGAAAAAUAAGACUCAACAAAUUUUGAUGAUUAAAUUAAGAGAAUUGCUUCUGAAUUCAGCUCCUCAUUGGUAUCUUCUUGCUCCUUGUGCAGAAACUGCUAAUAACCCAUGGCUAACUCAGUUUAUUGCUGUGUAAAACUACAGAUUCUUUCAUGGAAGAGAAACAAUGUUGGUAGUAUUUGAAACUGAGAGCUGCACCCUAAAAACAAGUAAAAGAAGACAUAAUCCCAAGAACUAAUACUAGACAAAAUUGCAAUUCAGAAAAAACACAAGGGAAUCUUCCCAUUUUAAAGAGUUAAAAAAAGAAAAGCAAAAUGUAGAUCAUAUUGAAAAACAAAUUAUAGGUUAUAUAAAACAACAUCUAAAGUCUUUCUACACAAACAUUAGUAAAACAGUACCUGUAAAUUUCCUGGUGUCAUUUUUGCAGCAUAACAGCAGCUAAACAACACUUGCAAAUUUGCAAAUGCAAUUUUUCUACACAAACAGUGGCAAAACAACACCUAGAAACUUCCACCUGGUGUUUUUGUUGCAUAACAGCAGCUAAGCAACGCCUCAAGACUUCUACAUGCUAUUUUUUUUUGCACAAACAAUAGCAAAACAACACCCAAAAAUUUUCAUGUAUUGUGUUUAUGUUAAUUACAUAACAGCAGCUAAGCAGCACCUGGAAACUUUCAGGUGCUGUUUUUAUGAUUAAACAGUAGCGAAACAAAUUGCAUAUUAUGCUUAAAAUAAAACCGCAUUCCUAACACACCAUUAUUGAGGAAACUAAACUCUACAUAUAAUAUAAUUAAUUAAUUUAGCUCAUCACCCAAUAAGAUUAAAUCAAUAUAAUUAAUGCAUCUUAUGUUUAAAACAAAAUAUCUUUAAAGUGGGGACUGGAUCAAAAUUAAAGAACCAAGAGAAAUUUAUCAAAACAAAUUAAAAAUAUAAAGACUAUAGCUCAAGAAUUUUGAAAGAAUUACAGGGCAAAUUAACUCACUCUAAUGAUACAACUAAGUAAUAGUAAAGUAUAGACAAAUUAUUAAAGUUCUAUCAAAUUCUCCAAUUUUCAUAUUGUAGUUAAAGUGCAACAAAUAAAAAUACUUGAGUUGUAAUUUUAAUCUAAAAACAACUAAGUUCUCCAAAAAGAAUUGAAAACGCCUCUUCGAAUAUUUGAGGUCCUUUAGGAGCAGCACCAUAAACUCAAGUAUUUAUAACACUUGCGCACAACCAAAAUUUAAAAGGCUCUUCCUGAAUUUGAUCAGCUAAGUCUCUAGUAUGUGCCAAUACUAACACUGUAGCACCUUCACCUUGAUUAUGAAUAACCUAUGUCAGUUGCGAAAGGAAAAUAUGAACAUGAAGUUUCAUUUAGAUAUUUUUUCAAACACUUGGAGUGCUUUAAAUCUUACCUCUUCUUUUAAUCAAAUGCCAUCCACUUUUAAAUAAAAUUAUUUUGACUAGGCUUUCUUUUUAAGCAAAACUAAGCAAAAAAACCUCUCAAUCAAACAAAAUCAAACUAAUUUCCAAAAUAUAUAUGUUAAAUAAAGCUAUUCACCUCAAGCUUAAAGCCAUGCAUCACAUUUCAUUGAAUUUAAUAAGCAUUCGAUUAAGUCGGCAUAUCUAUCCAAACAUGCACAAAUAAAUAAACGAAGACAAGAUAUAUCUCAACAAAAUGAGGAACAAACAAUUUCAAAAUCUGAUUUUUAAUUUUCAUCCAAAAGCAAACAAAUCCUAAAAAUUCACACAAAAGCAAGCCCAAUUUCAUAAUCAUAUUAACAAAAUUUCAAAAAUUAGUUCUCAGCAUUUUUUUAGCAUGUGUGAUUGAUUAACAUCAUACCCAAUUUCUUUACGACGUCAACAAAGACUAGCGAUUGUGGCUACGAGAUUGGACGUUCAUGCAUGUCAGUGGUGGCCGGUGGCUGUGAAGGGUUUGUUUAAUGGCAAGGAUUGGGGCAGUGUGCGCAAAAAAAAAAAAAAAACAAUUAGCAAAAAACACAAAUUGAAAGGCCAUGAAAUCAGUUUAAAGUUAAGCCAAAUACUUGAAAAUCACAUCCGCUGUUGACCAUUGUGGAAGUUGUGCCGCCGUUGACUGUUCUGGAAGCAGAAGAGGAGAGGAAUUAGUAAUUAGGUAUUUUGAAUUUUGAAUUCUUUUGCCAUGAGCUCGCGUCAGGUGAGAGAGUGAGACUGAGUGAGCGGGGCUGGGGGGUUGUGCAUGUGCCGCUGUUGACCGUUGUGGAAGUUGUGCCGCCGUUCAUUGUGUCAUUCACCAUUGUCGAAGAAGAAGAGAAUAGAAGAACUAGCUUCGGCAGCCGGCGUGAGGUGAGAGCCUUUUUCUUUGUUAUUUUUCCACAAAUAUAUAUAUGGCCGAUUCGGAUGUGUGCUUUUUUUUUGAGAAGAUAAUUAAACUUUCAUUAAAGCAAACAAGAGAAUACAGAUUCCACAUCAAUUGGUAACGGCGCUGUCCAUACAACAUUUGAAAGACUCCUUAAAGCAAGCUUAGCCAAGGAGUGGGCAUGAGCAUUACAUGAUCUGGGUGUGUAAUGGAAACUGAUGUGCUGGAAAUCCUUCCUUUGAUCUUGAAUUUCAGAAAUCACCCAAACAAUCUCUGUCUUGCUUCCCUCUUGGUUGUUAAUCAACUUUGCUACAUCUUGACAAUCUGUCUCCACCAUUAAAGAGCUAAGAGCUGCAUUUUUUGCCACAACUAAUCCCCAUUCAACAGCUUCUGCUUCUGCAACCUUAACAUCUCCAGAAAAUUUUGUGGUCUUGACAGCAGCCACAAUGAUUCUGCUGUUUGAAUCUCGGAUUACAGCUCCUAACCCUGCUAUUCCUUUUUCAUGAUUAAUAGCGGCAUCCACAUUAGCCUUGAAAACAUUUGCAGGAGGAGGGCACCACUUCUGGCUCUUCAUUGGAUUGUGCAUUCCCCCUGAUCCGUGCCCUUGCUGACUCACCCGUUUAUAAGCCUCAACUACAGCCUCAGCUUUAGCCACCACUCGCCAGCAGUCCAUCUUUUUGUCCGAUUCGGAUGUGUGCUUGCUACCGUUUCUAUAGGUUUCAGGUUUUGUGAAAUUUUUUUAAUUAUUUAUUAAUUAAACUCAUCUCAACCGUUGGAUUCAUUAUAUUGAAUCCCAUGGUCAUCUUUUACGCCUAUAUCACAUACAUGCAGGUAUUGUAGCAAAGGUCGUAGAAUCCAAUAUAGGACCCAAUGAUGGCCCACAUAAAUCCCCACUACUCUUUUUUUUUUUUUUGAGACUGAUUAAUCAUCAGAUUACUACAUUACACAGAUAUUUACAACAACUGUUUAUUGUAGCAGAGAUAUUACACAGAUAUUUACAAUUAGAUAUACAUGAUUGGGACUUACAUUAUUACAAUGAAUUCUAUGAAGUACAUGCCCAAUACAAAUAACCCCUCACAGGAGAGGAUGUCCAUACUCCACUUGCAUUUCGCAAGGGAGAAUGAUAUAAAGAACAUUUAGCCCCCACAAUGCUUUUGUAGGGGCUAGAACCGCUGCCCUCACAAUGCUUGUGAGGGCAGCAGCCCACCAUUUCGGCCAAGGCCGAAGUGGCCCCACUACUCUUCUUAUGUCCUCGUUAGAGACAACUUUUAAGUUUUAAGAGUCCAUUGAAACUAUUUUUUAAAUUAUGUUAUAAAUAACAUAAUUUUAAAGUUAUGUAUACUGACUCAGGGACGGGGCCACUGUGUUAAAAACAUUUGCAUGAAAUGGUCGGGACCUUAUUUUAGGUGCUUAUAAUUUUAUCAAUAUACAAGGGCAAUGUUGGUAUUUUAUAUGAAAAUAUUUGUGUACUCUUAGGGGUGGGCAAAAAUAGUUGAUUAAUCAAAAACCGAACCGAACCGAUCGGUUCGGUUCGGUUUUUUUGCGGUUUUUUUACACCCAAAAAACCGAAUUAGUAAUAUAGAGAAAAUAGUAAAACCAGUCGGUUCGGUUUUCGGUUUUAAAAAAAAAACCGAAAAACCGAACCGAGUAUCAAAUAAACCGAAUAAUAUAAUCCCUAAACCUGAAGUGAAUAAAUUGAUCUUCACUUCAGUCACUGAACUCGUGACCUUCAGCCCCUGAACUCAUCGCUGCUGUUGCUCGUGCUCGUCGCUGCUGCUGCCGCUGCUCGUGCUUGUCGCUGCUGCUACCGCUGCUCGUGCUCGUCGCUGCUGCUGCUGCUGCUCGUGCUCGUCGUUGUUGCUGCCGCUGCCGCUGCUCGGGUUGCUUGGUGGACAUUUUAUGUCGAACUGGAUAUCUUGAAGAGGCAAAAAGUACCAUUGGGAGUAUGCCUAUGAGACCAAACUUUGUCAUUUGGAUGAGUUUACUUAGUGGAGCAAGGAACCAUGGAAAUACUGCUGUACGGCCAAGGCGGAUGUACGGUACAGCAGUAGACUGAUUAAUCAUCAGAUUACUGCAUUACACAGAUAUUUACAACAACUGCUUAUUGUAGCAGAGGUAUUACACUGAUAUUUACAAUCAGAUAUACAUGAUUGGGACUUACAUUAUUACAAUGAAUUCUAUGAAGUACAUGCCCAAUACAAAUAACCCCUCACAGGAGAGGAUGUCCAUACUCCACUUGCAUUUCGCAAGGGAGAAUGAUAUAAAGAACAUUUAGCCCCCACAAUGCUUUUGUAGGGGCU
Molecule: long non-coding RNA, 69049 nt
Filed under: Citrus sinensis (sweet orange)
Lineage: Eukaryota; Viridiplantae; Streptophyta; Magnoliopsida; Sapindales; Rutaceae
Description: long non-coding RNA (CSIN_LNC001718)
Source: RNAcentral